This 48268-nucleotide long non-coding RNA is filed under the name Malus domestica (apple). Its description in RNAcentral is "long non-coding RNA (MDOM_LNC004302)". The record is from RNAcentral. Lineage: Eukaryota; Viridiplantae; Streptophyta; Magnoliopsida; Rosales; Rosaceae.
UAAACCUUACCCUUCUAGAAAUAAAAAACGAGAAUGAUACAAAGAAAAGAGGGGGGGGACAUGAAACAUAAUCCCUCUAAAACCAAACCUAAAGGUCUAAACUUGCAAAACAAGUCAAACAACCCCAUAAAGUUAGGAGAAAAAAAAAAGUGAGACAAACCUGGAUGCCGACAUGCACAUUAAUUUGAGAAGCAAUAACCAGGCAAGCCAACAUAGUCUGAAAACAAAGCAGCACAAACCGCCAUCGGAGGAGAAUCAUGCCAAGUUAAAGAUGGAGAAGACAAUCCCAUGUUAGCAAAAUUGUCUGCAACAAGAUUUACUUCACGAUGUACAUGAGAUACAUAGAAAGUCAUUUUCCGAAUACGAUCUAAACAAAUAGACCAUUGCGUAUGAAGAGGCCAAGGAGGAUCAAAAUUAGACGAUUGAAGAGCAUAAAUAACACUAGAACUAUUACUUUCAAACCAAAGACAAUGCCAACCCUAUUGAUAUGCAAACUCAAUACUAAUAAUAAUUGCUAAUAACUCUGCAAAAAAAAAAAAAAAAGUUGCGAUGACCAAUGCAUUGACAGAAACCUCCAAGAAAACAACCAUGACAAUUCCUGAAAAAUCCUCCACAUGUAGCAGGAUCAGAAUUUCCUUUAGACAAACCAUCUGUAUUAAGCUUAAACCAAGGAAACCAAAGGACAGGAAGAAUAGUAGGUGCCUUGCGAGGGAUAGGUUGGAUCCCCAAAGAAGAAAUGAUCCGAGUGUCAAAACCUUGAGAAUAACCAGAAAUAAACUUCCCACCAUGAACAAUCGCCGAAUUGAUAGAAAUGCAAAAGACGAUGAAAAUAGAUUGGACGACCCUAAAAAAUAAAUUUAUUUUGAGCCUUCUAAAUAGCUGAAAUAGUAGAAAGACCCGCAAAAAUCCAUAGAUUGUGCAACUGUUUGGAAAAUGGCUUACAGACAUAGACAUCCCAAAAAACAACCAAAGAAUCUGAAAGAGGCAAAAAUGUACCAAAUUAACAUACUAACCACCUCCAAAGUUGCCUAGAUAUCUGACAUCCAAUGCUGCCGAUGAUGGUGAUGAUUAUAAUUAUAAUGAUGGAGGCUGCGAUUCAAAAAGAUCAUUCGAUUUCUCCUCUUUCAAAGCCGACAUCCUCUCCACUCGCAACUUUGAAUACGAUUGGUGCGGAGAAUCUUUUGAGACUGCUCACGCAGCCGUGCUUGGUUGCUUUGCCCUGUAAGUUUCGUCGGUAAGGUUAACUUUCCAAUUCUAUCCCAUUUUCUGUAUUUGCUUUCUCCUGCGUGCGGCCUUAACUUGUAACUGUACUACGUAGGAAAGCAUUAGUCAAUGUAUUUCCUGUGCACACACUAUCACUUGAGGAACAAGUUCGACUGCAUUGUUUGCGAUUUAAGUCAAUCUAGACCCUGCAUUGCAACUCGCAUUGGGUCUUACUGGAACUACUUACAGCGAGCAUGCAAAACCCCCUGCGUGUUGAUUGAGGUUCUGAGGGGGAACACUCCAUCAAGCACGUUGAAGAUAUGGUCUGUAGCAGCAUUGCUUGGAAAUUGGAAAUUGGAGAUCUGCCUAGCUAGCUACUAUUUCUGUGUCUAGCUCCUCAUGUAGUUUUCUGUUAGGUAAUUUUUUUUUUUUUUUAAAUGGAAGAACAGGCAUUUUAUUAAAUAAAAAAAAAUAUUUAGUCAUAUUUUUAGGCUUAUUAUAUUUAUACCCUACAUAUUGUUGAAUAAACCUUAUAUACUUAAUACACCUCAUAUUUACUUUUUCAAUUAAAAUUUAUCUUAAUACACCCCAUUUACUUUCCCAUAUUACCCUCCCACCCCCAUUCUCAACAUACACCUUACAUUUUCUAUAUACACCCCAAAUUUUUUAUAACUCAGUCACAAUCAAGAUUGGAGGAAGAUAAGGCUGCUGAGACUUUGUUGAAGGUGGCAGACGAGGUUAUACGCUGAGGUUUAAUGACAAAAAUUCGAGGGUAAAAGCAGCAAGGGAAAGGAGAACAAUUAGAGGGUCUCUUGUAAUGUGAAUGGCACUAGGACUUUGCCCAGAUUGGCAAAAACGUAGCUGAAUGUUGAUGUAGUUUUAUUGCAUUUUCAGAUGUAUGAAAAAAAAAAACAUAUUUAUUUAUUGGUGUUGAAUUGCAGAACAAAGAUUGUGUUUAGCCAUUUUAUUACUAUUAUCAUUUCUUUAAAUUGGGGUUAUGCCGUGAGAUGAUAUACAUAAGGAAAUAUUGUUAAUUUCUUCGCACUCCAUUCAAGUUCUAACCUUGUAGUUUCAUCAUUUUGCUUGCCUUUGCUGGGAAGACAAAAAAAAUAGAUAAAUAAUACGUUAAAAGUGAUUUGAGGUUUAUUCAGAAUUUUUUUAUAUUUUUAAAAAACUAAUAAGGUCAAAAUUGACAUUGUAUAGAGUGUAUAAGUUAUUUAAUAUCGAAUUUGAAUGUGAGGUGUAUUUAUCAGUACGGAUGUGUACAUCUUUUAUUGGCACGGAAGUACUUAUCGAUUAUGCAUUGAAUUUUUUAGUAAUUUAAUUCAAAAUGUGAAGUAGCUUUUGUAAAGUUACCGAAAGCGCCGUGACGGAGAUGAAGAUGGAAAUGGUGUAAAACUUUUGACGAGUUGAACCGAAAGCGCCGUGACGGAGAUGGAGGUGGAGAUGGAGAUGAGGGCCGGGGAAGAAAUAGAGAUAGGACAAGACAUAACGCCACCGCUCCCUCCGCUUUCUUCCUCUCUCCACCACUCCCUCCUCUCAUCUCACUGCUCUUCCUGCUUCUCCCCUCUCCCUCCCCAACCCUUCCCUCCCCUCUUUACUCCUACCUUUCCCAACACUCCCUCCUCCUACUACUGCUCCUCCCUCUGCUCCUCCGCCGAUUCUCCCCUCCACGUCUCCAGCGCCGAGCCCUACCUUCUCCUGCUUCUCCAAUCCCACCCCUCCGCCUACCCCAACGGCGACUCCUCCGACCUCCGCGCCGCCCUCCGCCUCCUCCAAUCCCUUCCCGCCACCUCCCCCUACCCUCGCGUAGCCGGCCUCCUGACGAAUCGCCACAAACUCCUCCACCACCACGACCAUAGGGUUCGCGACGGCGCCAGAGCCAUGUUCCUCGCCAGGAAGAUGCGGGAUGAAUCUCCGAAUUUCUCUAUCGAUGCGACUAUUGCCAACGUUGCUCCGCACGACGCCGUAUUGGAGGAGGCCGUGCUGUCAUUGGUGCUAACGAACGCCGUGGAGGUGCAGGAUAAGACCGGGCGCACCCUUGGAAUUUCCGUCUACGGUCCCAGCUUCUGCUGGAUCAACCACAGCUGCUCCCCGAAUGCUUGCUACCGCUUUUCUUUGAUGACACCGCCAACGCCACCUUGUUGGCCCGAAACGGCGCUGCUGCGCAUUGUCCCCUUCGGCCGCUCCUCCGGUCGUGCCACACAAGUAAUCCCUGCAAAUUUGCACCGUUUGUUUAAUUUAUAGUGGAAUAAGAUUGAAAUUCAGGGUUGUGAGAUGGAUAUUUGUUGCAGAUUGAGAAUGGUGUUUGUAGCAAUAAUGUGUUAGCAAAAGGUGUUGUGGUUUUUUUAAGUUUUCGUGCUUCUUUUCGGUUUUUGUUUGUUUGAAUUAGUACACCAAAUUUACCAGUAUUAUUGAACCAUUCGUGUAUAUUACGAAUGUAGAAAGCCGAGGUUAUGGUCCAAGAGUGACGGUUAGGAGCAUCAAGAGAAUCAAGAAAGGCGAAGAAGUGACUGUUACUUACACUGAUUUGUUGCAGCCUAAGGUAUCUGCAUUUUAUCUAUAUACACAUUAUACAUGGAUCAGCGAUUGGAAUUUUGAAUUCAUAUAAUCCACAUCUGUUUUGUCAAGUUAACUGAGCGAUGUUUCGAUGACUGUGAGAUGAGAAUUUGCUAGUGUCAUUUUCUGCUUAUUGUCCCUGUCUUAGGAAACUAAACUUGAUGAGACAAUGCAAGGCAAUCCGACUUCUUUCCACUUUAGGGAUUAGCUAAAUCUUGCCCCAUUUGACUUUUCUUUUACUUAUUUCCAAUUUUAAUUGUGUUGAUGUUAUAUUUUAAUCCCUUUCUUUUAACGUCACAUUUUCUUUUCUUCUCAUGAGCUCCUCCAGGCAAUGAGGCAGUCAGAGCUAUGGUCAAGGUAUCGGUUUAUCUGCUCUUGUACGCGAUGUAGUGCAUCACCCCUAACCUACGUGGAUCAAGCUUUGGAGGUGGCAAUUCAUGAAAACUUUUUCUUUCUUUCUUGAUAUUCUCAAUUAAAUACUAAUUCUUAAGUCUAUUUGGAGUUCUUCCGUAAUAUCUUUAUACUAUUGAUUUUACAGAAAUUAUAAAUGCACUAGGAUAUUUGUACUUCUAGAUUCUUGUUUUUGUAUCCCCCCCUGUAUAUAGUUUGGCCUUCACUUUGAACAAAAGCUCUUUUUCAACUUGAACAUGAAUUACCUCCUAACCAUUUUUCUUCCUCUCUGGCAGUCAACUUUAUUUCCUAGGAUGUAGCUAAUGUUCUUAUUGGUGUUUUUUGAAUAAUCAUUAACCUUCGGUUUCAAAACUCCAGGAAAUAUUUGCAGUCAAUUCCAACUCCUCCAGUUUGAGUUUAGAAAUAAACUUCAAUAGAGAUAAGGCAACGCAAUUGUUGAGUGUUUACUUUGAUGAUGCUAUUGACGACUACCUGUCGAGUGGCGAUCCUGAAUCUUCUUGUGAGAGGCUUGAGCAUGCGUUCACACAAGGACUCUCUGAUAUGCAAUUAGAUUGCAACGGAGAAACAUCUCAGCUGAGAUACUGGUUGCACCCAUUAAAUUACCUCUCCCUAAAUGCCUACACAACAUUGGCUUCAGCGUAUAAAAUCCGUGCAACUGACAUGAUAGCUUUAUGUUCUAAAAUGGAUGAUCAUCUGUUAAAAGCUUUGAACUUAAGCAGGACUAGUGCAGCAUACUCCUUACUACUUGCUGGUGCAACUCACCAUCUGUUCCGCUCUGAAUCGUCUCUAAUUGUAUCUGUUGCAAAUUUCUGGACAAGCGCAGGGGAGUCAUUGUUAACUCUUGCUAAAAGCUCAGUCUGGAGUGAGUUUGUCCACCGGGAUCUGCCUGUGUCAAAUCCAUGUUCCACUGCAAGUUAUAGAUGUCCAAAAUGCUCAUUGAUAGACAAAUUUGAAGCUUGUUUAUUCUAUGGUCAAGUUCAACAUGCAGAUUUUGACGAUGUCUCAAGUGAAUUCAUUGAUUGCGUCUCUAACUUUACACAGAAUGUUUGGAAUAUUUUGGCUCUCAGUUGCCAGUACCUUAGAUUGAUUAAGAGUCCUAUUGAUUUCAGUUGGCUUGGUACCACAAAAGAUUCCAGUGUAGGGGAAGUUCUGAUUCGGUCUAGUGGCACUAAAGCGGGUUCUUGUGGGACUGAGAGAAGCAUUUCUGGAAGUGAAGCAGAGGGAUACACAGCCCAGGUACGGAUAUGUAUUUUUAAGCUCGGUGUCCAUUGCUUACUAUAUGGAGGAUAUCUAGCGAGCAUAUGUUAUGGUAAUUCCCAUUUGACCUGUUAUGUUCGUAAUAUUUUAGAUAUGGAAGGGAUAUUAUUGAAUCCUUGUCAUGAACCAAAUUGAGUUUGAGAUCUUAGAAGUUAAAUUAUUCCUGUUUUGGUGUUAAUUGCUGUGUUAUUAUACUCGUUAAGAAUCUGUUAAAAAUGUUGGUUGCAUAUAUCGUCUUCUCUGCUUGUGAUUUUUCGCCUCGAACUCUAUUCGUCUUGCAUGAUGCCCCAAGGAAUCAGCCACACGUAUCAGAAGUUUGUGUCAACGGAUUCAAUUUGAUAGACUACAGUGGGUUUCAAAAUAGAAUAAUCCGCUAUAGCUGUUUCAUAUAUCAUUUCGGUUCAGUCAAAUUAAAGAACCAAAAUUGAAAUCACAAUUGGAUUCGAUUUGGAAACAUCUGAAAUACAAAAUUGAAACCACAAUCGAAUUAAAGAACAAAAAUUGUCAUCUCCUGAUGCAUCCCUGUUUCUAUUUGUGUUCGUGUUUGUGUCAAAAAUACAUCGUAAGAAUGUUAUAACAGUUGCAUACUUAAAGCGACGCCCUACUGAAUGUUACAAUAGAUGCAUACAAGACCGUCGCUAAUGUCAAUGUUUCUUCUUUUUGUUGGACUUUGAGUUGGAGCCAUGCUCAUUUUUAUGUCGCUUUUCCCCACUCUUGUGACUCUCUCUCUGUUUUCCUUUAUCCAUUUUGUUUCUACUUGAUUUCACGCUAACGAGACCACCAGCAGGUAGGUUUGCACCGCCAUUCUGUAAUGCAUUCUCAAAGUCUGCAUCUCUGUCCCCAAUCGCGUACUGUUGAAGCAACUUGGGAUCUAAUGACCCCUCCGAGUUGGAUCUCAUCCCAUCCUGUAUGUGCGUAGUCAAGUCAGCCCAACUCUUGGGAUUCAGAACGCGGGAAAGAGAGGCAGUUCAGGUAACACGAAGGUAAGGAAGGAAUAAAGCGUACCUCAACUUUUCUUGCAGCAUCAUUGAGAUCAUCAUCAACAGAGAUCUUGUGAGGUUCCAAGAGAGUCUGAACCAAAAUUUCCGAAUCAGAGUGGAGUUACAACAUAGGCAGAAGAAAAGCACAGUAGCAUACAUACACGCACGCACGCACAAUUAUAAUGUGAUAGACGAUGUUUAAGCUUGCAUUAAGAAACACAAUAAUGUAAACUUAGCGAUUACAUAUCAAACAAAAUAGUUCAGGUACCAAAGUGGCUCACGCGCAACACACAUGUCAAUAUCAUAUAGUUAAGCCAACUAGAAUCAUAAUGCAUCCUACGACAUGAAAUUAUUAGAAAGAGAUGGAAACCACCAACAUAUCAUGUACUUUCCAUAAGAAAAAAAAGGGUUACUGCUUUGCUGAACUUACUUCUUUUGGUUUAGGCAAGGUUGACACAAGGCCCUCAGAUGCAAUAGCGUAUAGAUAUUUGUGAAACUUUUUCAUAACUUUUAUAAACAGAGACAAUAUUUGCUGCCUUUCCAGUUUCAUCAACCCCUGGAAAACGUGAAUGUAAGUAAAAAUCUACACCUGAUAAGAAUGAAAUAAAGAGCAGAAAUGACGCCACCAAGUAGAGUGUUUUGUCUUUGCAAGUGGGUUUGAUUGCGUGCUCGCAUUGCAUCUAUGUGACUGGUAUAGCCAAGCAAACCAUAUGAGUAACAAGUAGAGAAACAAACCUCAAUAUAGGAGAUAUCUUGAUUCUGUAAGCCAAUGCAGAGCAAUAUGGAAGCCUGGGCACCUGUCAAUGUCACUGGAAGUUUCUCUUGGAAAUACAGAUGUGAAAGCGUUGGAACAAGAUCCAAAAUCUGUAAAAUAAAAGCAUAACUUUAACAUGUGUAAAGUUAUAAACAAACGAUAACUAGAGUACAAGAGGACCUCAGUUUAGAAAAUGACACUUAAUUUCAAAUUCAAAUGGACCCCAGGGUUUAAACUGUAAUUUUAAAAACAAUUCGCAGGUAAUUUGAAGAAAGUAAGGUCUGUUGGUUAAGGAUGAAAAUGCAAUAAGCCCUCGGAUCCCUCCUCCCCACUAUCAUCUAUGCCUAACAGGAGGAAGAACAUCUUGACACAUUCAAACUGGCAGCCUUUCCCAAAAAACAGAAGGAAGCAGAUAAUCCACUCAAACCAUAAUCAACAAAAAUGGACGACAUGCCAUUGACCAGGAUGCACUGCACCUUCCUGAGAACCGCACAACAAAUGGGUUCACCUCCCUCAGGGGCAUACCCACAAGGGGGUGGGAUUGGGUGGGAGGGGAAGAGAAGGGGUCUAAUAGCCUAAUCGCUGUUGAUUUCAUCUUUUUAUGUAACACAGAGCACGGGAUGAAACAUCGGCCACAGAAUCCUACACACAAAUUACUUGUAAAGUACACAAAUUCCCCUUCUCAAACAAGCAAUUUUGAACUUUUAAUGUGUAACUGAACAUAUAUAUACAUAUAAUUAGAUCAAUAACUAAACACAAUGUCCUAAUAGUUCACUUUUGAAAAAGAUUAUUCAUAAAACAUUGCAAGAGUAAUAUAUGUUCACAAUCAUGGUAUCAGAUUGUCCACAGUAAGAAAACAAAUAUUUCACCACUGUCAACUAAAAAUUGUAUCACAAUCACAAUCAUAUUGCCACACUGAGACGAUAAUUCUAUCACAAAGGAAUACAAUUUUUCUUUUGUAAUGCAAUAUUACUUUCUUUUUCUAAAGGAAAGCAUAUUUUGUCUUGUAACGCAAAUAUCUUUUUUGAUUCUAAGGGAAGUAUUUCUUGUUCUGUAAUGCAAACAUUACUUCUAUUUUUAAUAUGAAUGUAUGGAAUCAAUUAGUAAUCCUAAGAUAAAAAAAUCCCAAAACACUACAUAGCACUAUGACAGGGCAAGUUGGCAAUCAACCAUUGUUCAGAGAACUUACCAUAUGAAAGUCAGCAAGACUGCUGGUGUAGGCCUCCAGUCGCUUCAUAUCAUAAGGCGAAAGUAAGUCUGUGAUAGACCGUAAGAAUCCAUCUGUGGUAGACGAUUUGGGUUCUCCAUCCUUGUAAUUGAUCUUAGGAUCUAAGAUGCUGGAAAAUUAUUAGUUAGUACGAGCACUUGAACAAUAAGCAUUUAUCAGAAUGGAACUUUUAAUAGUACCUCAUAGCGAGCCUAUAAUCCAUUGUACGAAAACUAUAACCCAAUAGUCUCAAAAAUCUUCUCCUGAAAUCUAGGUAGCCAACAAAUAAUCAAGCUGUGAACUGAAAUACAAAAAAUCUGCACAAAUUUAAAUAGAACAAAGGUUUUCCAAAGAAAAAUGGGCCCACCUAGGUUGAAUGGACGAAAAUCACUGGUUUCAAGUUCAUCAUUCUUCAAAGAUUUGAGGACCAUACACGUAUGCUCCCCGGUCACACCACUCUAUUACAUUGAAAAGAAAAAUGAAAAAUUAUUGUUUAAUCAGUCAUUCAUUCACAAAUGAUAAUAUUCAAAAAAACAGUAAACGGAAAAAAGGAUUCAGUAUGGAGAGGGGAAUCCAUCUUAACUGGAAUAUGUCCAAUAUAGAAUGGAGCAAACUUAUGUUUCCACCAAAACCUGAAAAGGUCCAAGGUAAGCCCAAAGGAGACACCAAUAUAAUGGAGCUUCUCUGGUCGCCUUUCACGAAGAUGAACAAGCAAAUGAGGAAGAUCUGUUCUAGGUUUUAUACUUUCUUCCAGCAAUGAAACCUAUAAAUAAAAUAGACAUAGGUAUCAUUCCGAUAAACAAUAUCAAGGCACAGGCGGCAGGUUGAUUAAUACCAAACAAACAAACCAAUACAUGAUAAUAUACUUUGAUGUCAUUAUGAUUAAAAUUAACACAACAAAUGAUCAUUCACAAAAGUUUGUCAAAUUAUAUUCAAACACAGAAAUUGUUCUACAAUCACCGGAAUGAAGCUUAACCAACUCAAACACUUCGACAGAACAAGAAUUGCAUUACCAGAAACCUAUGAGUUACAAAAUUGCCUCCAAUUGCAAUAAUAAUACAUAGAAUAGUCUCGUAUAAGCAGUUCUCCAACCUAUUAAUUAAAAAUAUUUAUAAAAAAAAAAAAACUAAGCUUGGUGAUUGUAGUUCACCUUCUCAGCAGCUUCUGUGACUCUGAGUGGGGGAGUCUCAACAUCUUCAACGUCCAGUUCAGAAAUAGGAGCAAACUGUCCUUCGUAGUACCUGAGGAGAAAUAAACCCUUAACACCCAUUUUUUCAAAUAUAAAAACAUAAAUGUGAAGCAUCAACUUUUAGAACCAAAGAGAUUCAGUGCAAUUUUCAUGUCAAAACACUUUUAUCUCAAUAAUGAAGUACUUAUGAGUUACAUUGAUACAAGAGCAAUGCAUCCCACAUAUCACACACAUUCCUUAUAUCUGGAUCCCCAACAAUAGCAAUCCAAUGUCACCCACAUAGCACAUGAUACAUACCAGAGGUGUCCCUAGAAUGUCCACAUCAGCCAUUCCUUAUAUCUGUGUCCCCAAAAACAUUUGCAGUAAAAAGUACAUGGACUUAUGAGCACAAAGGGAUAACGGACAUGUAUGGGUUGACUUGAGAGAUAAACCAAGUAAAGUAAGUUCAAGAAAAAAUCUAGGACCAAAUAGGAUACAAGGUCAGAAUCAGUGUGACCCAUCUAAAAAGUUAGGACCCCACAUUAAUUUGUGCAGUCAACAACGAGGAUCCAUCUUUGGAUUAUUAUCCUAAAACGCUCUAUCUUUGGAUUAUAUCCUAAAGUGCUGCUGGUUAAGCUUGUUUCUGGUUUUUCUCUGUUGGAAAUUUCAAUUACUAACGAAAUAUCCAAUCUUCAUUUAAACAUACAGAUUUAAACUCAACUGUUGGCACUGCAGACUCUUGGCCAUUGUUGGGAUUGAAAUAAGCUAGAGUUUCUCAAGAUAAAUGCGGAUGAGGUGGGUUUUAUUUGAGAUAGCGAAUUCCAUGUGUUUGUGGAUUUAUUGCCAAAGCAAUUUGGGAAGAUCCCUGCUGUUUCCUCCAGAUGGAUGGGGUUAUAAUUUCAUUGUAACUUUUCUGAAGUAAGUUUUAGUUGGACUCCUUUUCUUUGCAAUGGACAACUUCUCCUCCUUUCCUUUAGAAAAUGCUUUGCUUUGCUGAAUUUUUCGUAACUCUUAGAAAUGUAACCCAAACUAAGAUGAAAACCCCCAACAUGACCGUAUUUUAAUAUGCUAUCACUUCUAAUCCUCUAUAUCUUUCCACUUGUUUCUCCAACUACCAUCAUAUGACUCGAGAGUUGUAUUGUGAGAAAGUCAUCUGUAUAUCAAAACUGAAAUCAAAUGAUCAUCUCUUCAGCACCCACAUGGUCUAUGUUCUAUAGCUUUCAACCCAAGUGAACUGAAAGCAUGAGACUCACAUUUUGAGUUGCGACUUUAUGUGCCUGAGCCAGGGUGCAUAUGCAUGAUUGCUUUUCAUUCAUUUUAGAAAUCAUUUGAAGCAUUGCUUCAGACAUAUAAUCUUCAAUCUUUUCACCUUUUUUUUUAUGACAAACAGUAGCGUUAGUGGGUUAAAAGUUUAUUUGUUAGGGGGAGGGGAAUCGAUGGGCAUCAAACCCGCACCAGGGUGCAUAUGCAUGAUUGCUUUUCAUUCAAAGUGUAGCAAUAUGGGGCUAAAAGAAUCACUCAGUCAAUCUUUCUCAACACCUUAGGCAUCCACAUACACAUUGGGAUCAUGUAUGUGAUCUACAAAAACGUUUAGGUGGGGAAUAACUCAAAGAGGAGCAUACCUUGUCAAUAGUUCCACUGCUUGUGAUCCAUAUCCAAUCUACAACAACGAAAAAUAAAUUACCAUUUCAACAGAUCCCUGGUUAUAGAUUACCAUUUCAACAAAAUCCUGGUUAUACAUAUUGCUUUGGAAACCAUAAUGAGAGAAUACCUUCAUGGCACUUGGAUGUGUAGCAAUUCGUACAAUCCGAGCACCUGAAAGACUGGGAAAAACUGUGUCCUGAAAUUGCUCACAGAAUUUCCAUGGUAUCUGGUCACCAGAAGGCUGAUGACCAUCACUUAAACUUUUCAUUGCAGAUUCACGAGAGAUCUUUCCCUCAAGGCAGACCUAAGAACAAAAUGAUAGCACAUAAAAUGUUGAGCAUCAAAGAAUUAGUGUUUUAUAGAAGAUGAAGUACGUGUUUAAAGUGUUGUCCUUUAUUGCUAUUUCACAUAAGGUAAAAUUAUAAAUAAAAAAACUAAUAAAAUUUUGGGUAUGCGUUAAAUAACUAAAAGAAAUAAUAGUCCUGAACUAGGGGAAGACAGUCAAACCUGAAUGACACACAAAAUAUCAGGAAGCUGAUUUUUUGACUCAUCAACAGGGCCUGCACGUGCAAAUUAUAAUCAAGUCCAGCCAAAUAGCGGCAAAAAAAGAAAGACCAGUUCUAACGUAACAUAUAUACCAAGUAGCACAAACAGGUGGUGAGCCGGGGCAUCAGCCAUUAGUUGCAAAUCAUUUGGAGAAUUUUUGUAGUGGGAGGCAACAUAUAGAGCCAUCAUCCGCUGCAAGUAUUAGAAUAUGUAAGUUCACUAAUAUGAAAAUGAGAAUCACUAGUCUGACAUUACUUGAACAUGUAAUUACCUGUAAGAACAACUCGCUAUCUUUAUGAUAUGAAAAAAGCGUAUCACAGUUUACGUAGUACAGAUCGCACUCACUGGGUGCAGGUAACCUAGCCGCCAAGAGAGAGAGAAGAGAGAGAGAGAUCAUUAAUAAAGGUAAGGGUUAUAAUGGAGAUGGUUACAUCUUCCUCGGUUCUGACUGUCUAAGCAAAUGUUUUUACCCGUUAAGUUUAGGGAUAUAAUUUGUGAUAUCCAAGCAAAGUAAACCAUGAAGCCAGGAUUCAAUCGGAUCACCAGAAGCAUAUCUGAUAGAUUCUUUCAAUUCUAUCUUUUUGAAAAGACGACCUACAAUCAGGGACAUUUAUCAAUUCAGAAAAUUAUGUCCAAAUAUCACAAAAUAGUUUUUAAAAAAUUAUACAUUGCUCACUUGCAAGCGCCAACAGUUCAAGUAUUUCAGAAACAAUAAUGUUAAGAGAAAGCAGAAGAAACAUUGAAUUUUGAAAAUAAAUUCAAGUUUUGGGGGGAAAGGGGGAUUUUGAUCCAACCUAAUUCAAGAUGAGAAUACAAAACACGGCCAAUAAGGAAUAAGCAUACCAGAUGUAGGCCCCUUAGCAGACACUUGGCUUUGCUCUUCCAAUUGCUGUAGAAGUUUUAGGGACAAAGACCGACCAGUACCUUCAUAGCUUUCAGUGUAAAAUAAAUGUCCUUUAGUAUUUAAAUUGCACUUAGAUUUUUUUUUUUUUACCAAAAGUUGAAUUCAGAGUUGACUUAUAAAUAGAAAGACAUCAAGCAUGAGUCAAGGAAAAGUGGAAACAGCCCAUGAAAAGUGAAAGAUCUUUCAUUCCCCCCCGCGGCCGUAACAGAAAGUGAAAAAGUGAAGUGAAAUAUGUUUCAUGAGACUGUUAAAACCAAAAAAGAACACAUGAUAAGAAUACACGACAUGAAGGAAGAAGAACAUGGAUGAAUCUUACCCAUUAACAGUAGAUGAAAGGAAGACCAGAUAAGGACCAAGCAAAGACUUCACUACUGGUAGUGGAAUAGCAGCUGCUUCAUCAACAACCAACAGUUCAACUUGGGAAAGCUUUUCAUGCUCAUGUGGCCGUAUAUACUGCAAGUACAAGUAACAAAAGUAAAAAACAAAUAGCCCCAAAAGCAAUGAGCAGUACAAAGUUCUUUCUUUUAGGCUACAUGAGGUGUAAAGGUCUAGACCACCUCACAAUCUCACAGGCAUGUUGAGUGCCUCUAUACCAUACAUACUGGAUUAGUGCCAGGAAGACACAUUAGGUUGACCAAAAAGUUUGGCGUUUCAGGAACAUGCUUUUAGAAGCAAGCUUCAGUAAUCACAAACCAUCUAAAUUAUGUUCAAUAUGCUCACACCAAUAACAAAAAUGAUGCACUUGGGCAAAAGUACAAUAGAAUUUUUGGAGUAGUCAAACAAAGACAACCACUAAUCAUAUAUGAGGGCAUACGACAUUUGAUGGGCAAAAGGUGAACACACUCAUGGCUAUUGUGAUGCGGCUAUCCAAUAGAAGAAUAUUCUCUAUUACAACUUGGUUAUCAACUUUUCAUGAGUAACAAUUCCUCCAUGUAUUUGUAUUUUGGUAUCAACUGACUAAACAAAAUCUUUAUUGCUAUUUUUUUAUAGAAAACGAGAUUUUAUUAAACAGCUAAAAAACAAUACAACACUUAGUGGACUAGGAAGUCCACCAUCAAAACGAAACAGCCCUGACAUAUGCCUCAACAUUCACCUCCAUCAUUAUAAAACAGAUCUGCAACUAUCUCACUGCAACUCCCCAAUCCAACAAAAUUACAUAAAAUGAAAGAUCCCAAAACCUUGGAGAGAGAGAAGCCAUAAGAAUGCCCAAUUCUUUCCCAAGAAUUCUCUUGUAAAUCCCCACUCUAAUUUUCAAAGGUUGCAAACUUGAAAUUAACAUAGAAGGUAACUGGCUUCAGAGUCAACUAGGAUAAUACUGGGCAUAUAUGCAGAGAGUAGGCAUAGUAGCAACUUUCAGGGUAUGGAAUAAUACAAAAGGAAAGGGAAGACCACAGAAUUCUCUCAGUCAUCUUAACUUGAUUUGGUACUAAGAAUAAGUUAUGUAUACACUUCCCACUGGCCCAUCUGUACGUUAAUAUAGAAAUAGAUUAUAUCCUGGCAACAAGGAAGUGAAAUACUCCUAUUUUUAUAUCAAUAUUGGGCACAAAUUAAGAGUUCAUCAAUAUAAUUUUACCUCAAUUGUAACCAACUGUGCAUAUAAGUUUACCUGAAUUGUUUGUCUGUGCUGCUUGUAUAUAUUGAUCUGUACAGUUGCUUUCUUCAACAAAGGGUCACUACUUUUCUGUACAUCAUAAUCUAUAUGUUCCUGCAAACAUAGUUUACAACUGUAAGCUCAAUAACUAGUGCACUGUUCGAAGUACAUGAUUGAAAAAUGAAGAAAACGGAGUGACCUUAUAACAAUUAAUGAAAGAUAAAAUGUAGUUCACAGAAUAAAACAUUCAAACACCACCAUCUUGAUAGUUAAACAAUUUCACUGUAAAAGCUAUUAAACUUAGCAGGAAAAAAAAUUUAAACUUUAUCUAACAUUUGAAUCUACAAUUUUCAAUUAGCAACUCUUGUCACAAAUGUUUAUUAGUGGGGUACGUUCUAAGAUAUUGUUAUUUGCUAAUUGUCGAGGAUUAUUUGGGAGUUAAAUCUCACAAGAAGGCGUAAAGAUCACAUUAGAAUUAGAUAUUUUACUAGGAAGCUAAAGAUCACAUUAGAACCACCCGCAGGAAUACAAAAAAACGACAUACCUUAUAGUCCAGUUGAUCAAAACCCUUGCAAACAAAUUCGAACAAGGUUCUUAAGUUCUCAGGGCUGGGUGCAGUUACAAAUAUAUUUGAAUACCUGUGAAGAUAUAUUUGUAUCGUCAAAACAUAGUACAUGAAUAUGAGUGUAGACAGCUACACAUACACCAAAACAGUUUUAAUACAUUGUAAAAGGCAUACUACCCUGCAGCAAUAGCUCCGGAAAUUGCCAAACCAAGUGCAGCCGAUUUUCCACGGCCUCGAGCAGCAAGCAAGGCAACAGUACUUCGGAGUGUCUUGUCCAAGAUUGCAUCAAGAAAUGUAGCAACAGCAUUUCCCUGUUGAAACAUUUACCAACUCAAACUAUGAGUCAUAUUAGUAAAUCACACAUGAUAGAAAAACUCAAAACUAAUACAAAUCAGAGAGAGUGCCUACCUGGUCCAACGUACAACAUUUCUUUAUUAAAGGGCCAACAGGAAAGGCAUCACUCAGCUGCUCUUUUAGAUCCUUCAGUUCCCUUUGUGACUCUGAUAUCCCUUCAGAGUCCUUCAAUCAUGAUCAGAAAACAAGAAAAAAGUUAUCAAAGUUAUCAAAGCUUCACAAACUCCUAGAAAGUAUCCUAAUAACCAUUCGGUAUACACACACUUGAAAAAUUACUUUUAUUCUUUUUGUCAUCUCGCAUAAGAUGCCACGAAAAUAAAGCAUUCCUCGAUUUAUCAGUUCCGUCCUAUAGAAAAGUUACAAGGCUAAAAGGUUACCUCUUUCACUGGAACUGGGGUAAUUGACCUCAUAUGAGAUGAAAUUGGUAAAAUAUUCAGCUCAUCAUCCAUUACUACACAUGAUUUGCAUGACGCAAGUGACAAUAAGAAACGCUCGUUAAAACGUCCAGUAGCCUUAGAAUGGGAUUCAGUUCGAAACCUAUCAUGAACAUCCUGAAAUCAAGAGGCGCUGAUAAGACUGUAUGGAGAUUUUUGCAUUUGAGAGAACGAGAAAGACAGUGUUGCAAAUAAAACAUGACAUAACGGAAUUGUUAUCAAAUAUAAUAUGUGGUGCAUGGCUAUUGCUAUAUUCGUUCUAAGUCCAUAAUGUAGUAAAACUAGAAACUACCUCAACAAGAAGAACAAAUAUUAUGAGGAAACCUAGUUGUUUUUUCUUCUUCUUUUUGGGGCUAGAACAUGAAAAGAAACAACUAGUCUACAUAGGCCCAACUGGGAAACUUAUAUGUUCAGCAGCAUUCUCUUAAAGAAAGUCAAGCAAUUGAAUCUACCAAAAGUCUUCUUGUAGCCAAGCACAUCAUUACGAAAAAAUUCGGAAACUUUUAACAUGGCUAGUUUUCAAGAUUUUGCGGUAUAUAAUAAGCAUAACCAUGCUGGCCUAAAAACUAAGCAUUAAUUGUGUGCAUGCGUAAGAGAAAGAGGUAUUAUUAUAUGCAUACCAUAACCAUGGUGUAGAGGUUGGUGAGUGAGGUUAGAGAAUGAAGCAACAAUAUGACUAGUCCACCUCCCUCCACUGUCUCUAUCGUUCUUGCUAGUAGAUUUGGAGUCAAGGCCUCAAAAUCCUAAUGCAGGAGAUCAAACUUAGUCAUAAAACUUAAAUCAAUUAUACAAGGGGUCUUGGCCAAACCAGUAAAUUUGUAAGUUUCAAGUUACCUGAAGUAUACACAUUCCAAAGGUAUUACCAAGAACUCUUUCUGAAUCCUUGUACAAGCAAUAAGUCAAUCCCCCACUUUCAACAAAAAGUGAGAAAGGAUCAACCUUCUCGGGAUCAAGCAGCCCCCUCUGCAUCAUCUUUUUUACUUGCUUAGCACGUUUUUUCUUGUGACUGCAUCAUGAAGUAGUCAAACGCAACGAAUCAAUAUAUUUUAAAAACGAAAUUCCGCCUUGCCUUAUAAUAAGGUGAAGAAUGGAAGGUAGAAGAAAUCAACCUGCUGAGCUCGAGCUUGUCCUUGUAGCACCACAACACAGUCGGGCGCGAUUUCUUUACUUCAUUGCUUAGCAUAUAAUGAAGAUUCACAAUCUGAAGACCAUAUAAAACUCCAUAUUAGCCAUUUUCCGUUAGUUUUCGAUAGAUUUUCGAUGAUAUUUCUUACCUUGUUUGAGGUUUUUAGUGUUACUCGGUGAGUAUUGCAGGUGAAAACAAGAAACAGUAAAACUGGUAAAAUUUUCUACCCAAUUCAAUUUAAAUCAUUGUUAUAACUCCUCAAAUUGAAUAGGAAUAGCAAAUAGGGAAUGGGAUAGGAAAGGCAGAAGAAAUUAGGAGUACCUGGUCACGGGAUUUGUCGCCGACGAUGACGAACAUGGAGCGGUGCCGGUUUUUGACGCCAUUGCUUAUUAGGGUUCGGAUUCGUUCGUCCACCUUCUUCCUCAUUCUCUCUCUCUCUUCUCUCUCUGUGCAAUUAGGUUUAGGGUUUAUACCAUAGGGCAGUUGUCGUCGUCGGGCAGGGUUUAAGCCGAACUAGUGAGAGAGAGACUAGACAUCGCGGAGAGAUAUUGAGUUCAUCUCAACCGUUGAUUGGCUAUCUGAUGGCUGUUAUCAAAGCUGACAUAAAAAUGAAAACUCAACACGUGGCCAAGUAUUUUUUUUCUCUCUUUUUUGGCUUAUUUAUUGAUUUGCCCCAGAAAUUAUUUUUUUUGUCUUACUCUAGGUCAUGAAACAGAAUUUAUCUUACUUUAUCUUCUAAAACUACCAAAAUCGAGUCAUUUCACCCAUGUUUUGUCAAUUCUAUCUCAUAAACGUUAAAUAAAAGGGAGUCUAAACAUUUCAUACCAUGCUAGCAAAGAUGAGCCACUGUUGUUGGUGAGGUACGAAAUUUUCAAACUUUCCUAAACCUUUAAAACUUAAAAGGUAUCUUGAAUAUGAACGUAAAUGAGGUAAAGUUGCUCAAUUUUGGCAAUUUAUGAAGGGUAAAAUGAGACAAAUUCAAUUUAAGGCUAAAGUGAGAGUAAAUGGCAGUUUCAUGAGAUAUAUCAAUAAAUAAAUCUUUUCUAGAAUACAACUAAAUUAUGUACUCACGGUAAAAGAUAAAUUAAUAUCGAACUUGUCAUUGACGAUAUCUAAACAUAAAACCUUUCAAGUUUUUACCUAUAAGAAUAAAUUUGGUAUAGUAAUUUCUUUUCUAAUUUAAAGUUUCCCAUAGAGUUAUGACGAAUUUGAUACCAAAUUAGGCUGUCAUUGUGUGGCAUAGCCGAAUUCCUCCUCCCUUACUUUAAAAAUAACGAUGUACUCAAAAAAAGUUUCCCAUAGAGUUAAAAUGAUCUUUAGUUGCUUGCUGAGACAACCCAUAUGUAUAAUAAGACAUUGAAAAAGGUGCCUCUGUCAUUUACACUCACACGAUCGAAUAAGUAGCUCCGACAGUUGCAUCAUAAAAUUAAGGGGUUUUCCGAGAUUGUAGUAAGGUUGACGAUUAAAGUUUGGGAAAUUUUCAGGUUAAGGAAUCAAGGGAUCACAUUUUCAAGUUUCGUAGGCAUUCUCUUUCCUUUGGAAUGGUGUUGGAAUCCGUCCUGAAGUUGCCCAUUCCUUUGCUCUUGAUUUUCAGAGUUGGAUAGCUAUAAACCUUAGGACACAUUGUACCACCAUACAUGGUUUACCUUGGAACCUUAUCUUUAAUUCAACUCUCUGGCAUUGCUGGAAAUGGAGGAAUAACUUUGUCUUCAAUGAUGGCCAACAACCGCUUGACUCACCCCAGAAUUUCAUUUUUCAAUUUGCAAGGGAAUGGUGUGAUGCGAACAAGUGUUCUUCUAGUAAGCCUCCUAGACAAAAUCAUCUCAAUCCAUUGGAUUCGUUUGCCAAUUGGUAUACAAAAUCAAUACAGAUGGGAGUUGUAAAGACCCAUUUAGCCACAUAAGUGCUGGAGGUUUGCUUCGUAAUUCUGAAGGGAAAUGGAUUAAGGGAUUUGCUGCUAAUUUGGGCAGAGGAACCAUCAUGGAAGGUGAGCUUUAAGGGUGGUUUCAUGGGACUUUCUAUAGGUUGGGAUGAGAGUUGCAAGGAAGUGAUUAUUGAAUGUGAUUCUUAUGCUGCUGUUACUUUGAUCCAACAACCUAUUUUAGUUCCCACUCUACAAUCUCAUUAUUGACUGCAAAGAAGCCAUUGAAAGAAAUUGAAGAUGUGAAGUUACUCAUAUCUAUAGAGAAAAUAAUGUCUUAGCUAAUCACACGUCUGACUUAGGUCAUGGGUUAUCACUUGGUCUUCAUGUUUUUGCUUCUCCUUCUACCAUUGCUACUAAUUUUAUAGUUUCUAAUACUAUUGGCAGGGCCCUCCCUAGAGCUGUUUUUUAGUAGCUUUUUUGUUUUGCUUGUUGGGCUUUGCCCUCUUCUGUACCCAAAAAAAAAAAAAAAAAAAAAAAUAUUGGGAAAUUUAUUUGGACCCAACUUUUUUAUCUCUACACCCAAAUAAUAUUUUCUCUUAUCUAAUCUUCCAAAUUUGUCCUUAAAUAACAAACAUUGAAGUUUUCUUUGUAUCUCUACACCCAAACCCCACGAUCCACCACUGUAGGGCGCUCCAUUAUUUCCGACAAACCCAACUCAAACGCCAGCAACACUAAAAUCGACAAAUCAAGACUGGAGAACAAAUGGUGUAGGAGUCCUAAUGUGAAUAUUAAAGCAAACUUAAGUUGCAAAACCCUUUUUUAUUUCAAUCGAUGAAAGGACCUUGGGUUAUGAACAUAAGGAACCUAUUAGGGUUUAGAGGUCCCCUCCACAUCAUAUGCAUAAGCCCUUUUUCUUCAUUCAUUAAUUUACGGAAGGGAAAAUUAAUACUAUUAUUCUCAUAAAAAGUGGGAAUACCAAGGAAAGAGAUCCUCUCCACACCAUAUAUUUUUCUUUUCUGAGUAGUUAUAUCCAAUGGAGAGAGGAAAACAAGAGCACCAAUGGUCGCAGGUUCACCGGAGAAAAUGAAGGUGCAGUGGUGAUGUGAGUUUAGGGUUAUUGGGUGUAAAGAUAACAACUUUAAUAUUUAUUUUCUCAUUUUUAUUUAUUUAAGGGCAAAUUUGAAAGUUUAGUAGAGAAAAUUUGUUAGUUGGGUGUAGAGAUAAAAAGGUUGGGUCCAACAAAAUUUCUCAUAAAGUUUAAUCACGCGAUUAAGUUCUUGUGCAAUGAGUAAAUUGUAGCAAUGACCCAUCAACUAAAAAUCCAUUAUUAUUGAUCCCUCAACUCAUCAAAAUAUGUAGUUAUGGUCAUUUUCGUCAACUUUGUAAGAAUUUUGUCAAAAUAAAUUAUGUUGGAAGGACCAUUGUUACAAUUAAGGUCCUUCAACUCAUCAAAACAUGUAGCUAUGGUCAUUUUCGUCAACUUUGUCAAAAUGAGUUAUGUUGGCAUGACCAUUAUUGCAAUUGGGUUAAAGUUGAGGAAUCAUUGCUCCAAUUGGGUUAAAGUUGAGGGAUCAUUUCUCUAGUUAGAUUAAAGUUGGGGGACCAAUGAUAAUUAAGUUUUAGUUAAGGGAUCAUAGUUGCACGUUUUGAUGAGUUGAGAGAUCAAUGAUAAUGAAUUUUUAGUUAAUGGAUCAUUACUCCAAUUGAGUUAAAAAUAAAGGACCAUUGCUACAAUUUACUCUUGUGCAAUAGAAGAUUAAUUUGGCCGAACAACCUGAUUAAGGUGCCUACUUUCUCUUUAAUUCAUUGGUAUCAUUUAUUUUCCCUUAAGCUGAAUUAUGCUCAAUUUAUGUAUCAAUAUUGUAAAGUUGUCUUUGUUAGAGUAAUUUGGACAAUAUAAAUUGAAAAUUAUUUGUGUAUAUGGAAAAGAUUAACCUCAGGGGUCACUUCGCCGGACUCCGUAGCAAUCUCCACCACUCCAAUCGUAAUGGUGAGUAAAUCACUUGUGUUUGUUUCCAUUUUUUCAAUUGGAAAUUGGGGGUUUUGAAUUCAUAUUUUGUCAAUUGGUUUUGUGAGCACUGAGAAUACACUACGAGCUUGUGUGUGUGUACAAUAUGUUGGAUUUGAUCUUUAUAAAGAAUGCGAGAAAUUGGGGUUAGGAAAGAGAAGAAAAGGAAACAGAACUCGAACUUCGAUCUUCAUUCUUGUUACUAAAGGAGAAAACCGAAUUUGAACCGGUUCAUACGUAAUCGAACCGAAUUUGUAUAGUUCGGUUCACCCCUUAGUACCGAACCGUACCAUACCAAAAAAAAUUUCUUGAGUUUGGUUUUGAUACAUCCCUCAUACUGUACCAUACCAAAUCGUGGCCAGACCUACUGAAUACAAAACUUAUAUCUGGGUCGUAAGUCGUAAGGCCUCCAAAAAAAAAGUUCAUAUUAUUCAUACCAAUCGGACAAAUCCCGCACCCAAAAACAAUGGCUAGAUAGAAAGUUCAAUUAUAGAUUAGGUAAUCUAUCCUUUUCAACUUAAAUGCACAUUCAUGAUGGUUAUGCAAAUCAUAUUAUGUUAACAAAUGCAACAAUUAAUUAUAUUUAUCCAUUUGGAAUGAUAUAUAUUUUCAAAGAUGGAAUUACAGACCCCGUUGACGUUGAGGCCAUUGCAUGAGAGAAUUUUAGAUGAUUUUCAAUUAAUUUAUAUUAUUGUUGUGAUAACCAUAAUAAUUAUUUUCUAAAUGUAAAACUAUAUUAAUGAAAUUUUCUUUGUCGGUCAAAAGAAGAUGAAAAGAUAUCUUUAUCUUCUAUCACAACAAAAAAAUUAAGGAUAUUAAUGUAAUAGGCUAAUAGCGAUGGGGUGAAGAAAUGGAACUAUCCUAAAUAGGCAGUUGCUGGUUAUAUUGGAUCAGGUGGUCUGAAUGAUUGGAUAAUUAGCAAAUAAAAAGGUUCCAUUUUUCAUGGACCCUCAAGUGGAAAUAUGGGAUAAAAGAUGGCAUAUACCAUUUUAUCCAUUUGUGAUUGUACAUUUUGAUGGUUGUGAUUUCACCCGAUGGCGCGGCAAGUGUGGAUUGGGAUAAGGAUGGUUUUGGUCUAUCAUCAAAGAUGGUUUGAUGUUCACGACUGGAUUUUACAACGCAUCCAAGUGCAUGGGUUCUAUAAAUACAGAGUUGCGCACAAUAAAAAAGUACAAAGGACCUUCAAACCUUUCACACACUCUGAGAAACUCCUGAUUCUCCCAACUUCGUCAACACAUCUUCAAUUUGGAUUAACAUCACUGUUUGUCAGUGAGGAGUCCUUAGUCUUCUCGUCUCAUUAGCCCUCUAGGUGAAGUGAGGUGUUACUGAAUUACUUGAGUAUUCAGCACAUUGAAAGUCGAACCUUAUUUGAACUUCACAGUAGUUAGCAAUCUUAUCUUCAGGUUUUAGAACCCAAUGCCAAGACAUAUUCCUUCCUCGACAGUGAUGGUUUGUACACAAAAGUUGGUUUGUACACAUAAGUCAGUAUUGUGUUUGACACACCAUCCCAUUCAUUCUACUAGCCCACAAACGCGUGGACUCGUCCAAAAUUACCCCACUCUCGGCCCGUUCACUUGCCCACUCGUCCCACGCGGCCCGUGAGUCUUCAGUGCCUGAUAGGGGGGCCUACUGUUAGGGCCGUUGUUGGCCACAACCCAGAGCCCAACGAUUUUUUUUUGCAUCCCACGACUGGCAUUUUUGGACCGUUGGUUGAUCCAACGGUCCAGAUUCAAAUUUUGUUUUUUUAAAUGUUAUUUUAAAAUACAUUGAAUCCAACGGCUGAGAUCGAAUAUAAUCAAAUCUAACGGUAAAAUAAAAAAAGAUAAAAAAAGAUAUAACAGUCCAAAUUUAAAUCCAACAGCUAAAAUAAUUUUAAAAAAAAUUAUUUAACUCAAAAUUCACCCAAAAACUCUAUAAAUACCUUUGUAUUUGUUCAAACAUCCACACAAAACUCAAUUUUCUCCCACAAUUCUUCCAUUUUUUCUUUCUACCAUUUCUUUCCAUUUCCAAAUUGUUCAACACGAUCCUUGAAUUGGCCAUCCCAAGCAGUAAGACAAUUCUUCCACUCCCAAAGCAUACAAUCGAGACUUCCUAUCAUGUCAGGAAAGCCUAUUUUGUCUGCUUUGAGUAGAAUGUGACGACAUGUCCCGAAUUAUUAUAUAUUUUUCUCCCUAAGUGUGUAAAGUGACGGUAAUGCCCUCGUGAUUUAGUGACGUGGAUGUACAUAUGUAGUUUUAAAUUAUUAUUUCUAUUGUCGUAGUUAAAUUGUACUCGACGCCAUGAGUGUGUUGAUGUGACCUAGGGCUAAAACAAAUUCGUAACGAAGAAGUUACGAACAGACGAGUGUGUAAAUGCGUAGAAAUAUAUUUUUAUGGGUUGGCUAUACCUUACCCACCAAUCACCUUAAUUCCUGAUUUCUUUGGCCUAAUUGAAUUAAAAAUAUCUCUCAUUUUUCCUUCUGCCCAAUCACGCACAUACACACCAUCACUCUCUCUCUUCUCUCGGACCUUCUUCUUCUUUCUUCUCAUUCCGUACACCCGAGCCACCCUUACCUCACAAUCAUCAUCAAAACAUUAUGGAUCGAAUUGGAAAUCACUACCAUCGCAGUCACCUCGAUCCCACGAACUCAUUGAUACCCUUAGGUCGAGGAAUAGACGUCGGGAAUUCGAGAACUCGGGAGCUCUGGCGAGGUGUAUUUUUCUACUUUGUGAUCGUGGUCUUUUUCUAUGGUUUAAAGGCUUGAGGUGGGUCCUAAUCAACUUUAUAGGGACCCUAGAUUAGUUUUGGAGCAGUUUGAACGUUGGAAUAGGUGAGAACAUGGAGUUGCAGGUUGGCCGGUUGAUCCAAGCCUUACUCCGACCACUUUCUGUCGGUUUUAGAACCUCAAGUAGGUAAGAUUGUAUUCUUCUAGUUGAGAGUUUCAAAUCCAUAUAAAAUUCAUGGAAUUUGGUUGAAAAAUGAUGAAGAUAUUAAAGUUUUAAGAUUUUUCCAAAAAUCAGCGACACAAACGGCGCCCGACGGCCAGCGAUGGAUUCCGACAAAGCCAUCGGAGAAGGAGGAGAAUAUUAUGUCUAACUUUGACAGAAUAUACUAACAGCGUCAGGUAACUCUAUUAGUUUUUAAACAAAAUAUUCUACUAUUUAAUGAAAUAUUCCCUAACGCCGUUAGGGAUUCCGUGCCUGCACGUGCCGGCUUAUGAGGGCGCGUGAGACGUCAGGAAAUUAAUCUAAAAAUAUUGGGGUGUUCGAGUUGUUGAGUAGGUCAUGUUGGUAUAUUCAAACACCCUAUUUGAGCAACGUAUGAGAAGUUAUUCCUAGGGUUUGUGUAUGUGCCUUAAAAUUAAUGUAAAAUUAGUUAUUUCGCAUAUAGGUGAGACUUACCCGGAGGACAAACGUGGUCAAACGAGACUUGGGGGCUACGAUCCUACUACUUACCAGUGAGCGGGCUUUUUUUUUCUAUAUAUAUGUAAAUAUGCUUAUGAAUCCCAUAAACUACUUUAAAUGAACGUAUGUUUUAAAUGCCAUGUCGUGUGCAUUAUGUGUUAGUAUUGCAUUAGUAUAGCUAUGCAUAGUAUUGGAUGAGACUGCGCAGACUCAGGUAAGUUUCAGGUGAGUACAUCAUGAUGGUAUUGGGUGCGUGUGUGUGGUUAUACGUUGAUGCAUUUUGAGCUUAUUAUCCUGCACAUUGGUGUUAGUGUUCUCGCCCAUGGCCAGGGCAUAGUUUUUCACAUGAUGUUCACCUCCUGGGCCGCACGCUCACUUUGGAUCCAAGUUUGGUGCACAGCCAUAUUGCACAGACCACAAUAGGUGGUUCCGACUCGUAGGUGACCUGCAAUUAUUUGCACAGCCUUCACGUGAUCGUAGCACUUAAGCGUACUUAUCUACACCCAGCCCUGUUGUACAGACCACAAUAGGUGGUUCCGACUUAUGUGCAUGCAUACUUGAUGAGCUAUAGAUUCAAUUGUACAGGUUACAUUAGGUGACUCCGGUUGGCAUACUAUUUUAGGUUGAUUCGUAUCACCUGGCUUACACAUUUUAUGGUUGAACAUCUUGACAUGGCAUACCUCUGUUUUCACUGCUCUAAGCAUUAUCCUUAUGUACCUAGUUGUUAUUAUUUUCUGGAAAAUUAUAUGGGUUUACAGUGAGGGGUUAGUAUGUUCAUAAAGACAACUGUGUUUUCAAAAACUUUGUUUUUGCCUACUCACAUUUUUUGUUUUGCACCCUUUCAGGUUCUAGGUAGUUGGUCAUCCUUGGUGGCUCACGAGGACUUUCACGGCGGUUCUGACAUCUCUGUAAAUAAGUAGGGAUUUUUUUCCCUGUUUGUAUAAUUAGUACUUAGUUGGUUCGAUUGCACUUUCGUUUACCCAUGCUCUGAUAUUUGUAUAACUUGCUUGGUCAUCUUUACUCACUUAUAUUAUCUUAGUUUAGAUAAGUUUGGUUUUAGGUUUUUAUUUAUUCGCAUUUCUUUUAUUAUUACUUCUGUUGCGCAUUUUGGCUACGUUACUCUUACGUGACGGGCAUCAUGUUUCGACUUCGGUUGGGGUGUGUCAUAAAAGCCUCUUCAAGUCUUCAUGAUUUGGCUUGCAGAGAUAUGUGGCUCCAUAUGUGGCCUGAAUUGCCCCACAGAAGCGCUCCAGGUUUUUAAUAGCAGUAGUCUCCGCAAGUCGGCAAUACUCAUCAGUUGAGUUUGCAGAGCACUCAUUAGCUAGCAUCCGAAAUGCAGAUGUGAGCUUCUGAUGAGGUGAUAGACUUUGUCGGCCUACGACAUUUAUCUUCCUUGCAAAGUAGUGGUCAUGAUUGACAACUGUGUUCAAGAUGCUUUCAAAAAUCUCUCUCCUCAUUCGAAACCGUCUCCGAAAAUCAUGAGCAGGAAAUCUCGGACGCUCAAUAAAAUAAUAUUUCAUCAUUCGGUCAUGACACUCUUCUCUAUCACGUUGCACAAAUGAACGCUUCGUGACAUAACCACAAUAGCUAGAUUCGACAUGGUGCUCAUAUUGCAUAAGCGAGUUUGGAAGUUUAGCUUAUGCGUUGAUCAUUUUUGAAUCCUCAAUGUCAAGGCUUGCUUGGUAUUAUGUCAUUUGCAUUGCCCUGCUACACCUUCUUCUAUCAUCCAUUGUUGAUAUAUUGAGGAUUUUUAUGAAACAAAAACACUUUGAAAGUUGAAAGAUUAGUGAAUAUAGGGAAUGAUUGAAGGUUGAAAGAUUGUGUGACCAACUGAUAUUGAACAUGUGUUUAUAUAGAGGAUGAUUGAUGAAAGUUGAAAGUUUGGUGAAAGUUGAACGGUUGGUGAAAGUUGAAGAUUUGUGAAAGUUAAAGACUUGCUUUGUGGAAAGAUUUAGUGAUUUUUUCAAUAUUUAUUGGAAUUUAAAUAUUUUUAUAUUAAAAUGUUCAUAAAAUUAAUUUACCAUAGGCUACAUAAUUUUUUUUAAAAGUUAAUUUAAGAAAAAAAAUUAGCCUAAGUUCAUUCUUUAAUAAUCCCGAACUAAAAUUUUAGGCUAGGGUUGGAGCAGAAAAACUGUUUCUGUGUUAAAAGCUAAAUUUUUUAGAUUAAAAAUUUUAAAUUUUAACCCAAAGGUUGGAGAUGAUUUAAGAAUGGAUAAACUUAACCAAGAAAAGAAGAAAAAAGAUGAAGGGCAAAUAAGUGAGAAGCAACAUGACACGACACACGGACGACCAUAGCAAUAAAGCGUGCGUCCUCACGUCCAUUGAAUAUAUAGAUGGGAGCUACAACAUCGUGUUUCACGUGCAUGUGUAUUAUACAUAAAGGCAUAUACAGUGUUAGCUUAUAUAUUAUAAAGUUUGUAGGCCACUUACCCAAUUUGGCAUAUGUUUUAUCUUUUUACGUGAAUAACCAAUGUGUUAUGAUGAUACAAGUCUCUUAACAUAUCCGGAGUUAGAAAUAUCAUAAGACAGUGUUGCGAUCAUAUUGAAAUUAAUUGACAGUUUGUAUUAUAUAUUUGAUUAUUCUUUAUUAACUUAAGGAGACAGCAUACUUAGACCUAAUUUAGUCACAUUCUCCAACCGAAAAUAAAGCGGUGUAGUAUUCAUACACUUUUUUUUAUUUCUUACACAGUCUUAAUUAAUUUCUAUUGUUUGAUCUUCUUCAAUUCAUUCGAUCUGACGACCGAAAAUUAAGAUGGUGUGUGGACGAGUAAAUUAUAACAAUGGUCCCUCAACUUUAAUCAAAUUGGAGCAAGGGUGCUCAACUAAAAAUCCAUUACCAUUGGUUCCUCAACUCAUCAAAAUGUGUAGCUAUGGUCAUUUUCGUCAACUUCGUUACAAUUUUGUCAAAAUAAGUUAUAUUGGAAUGACUAUUGCUACAAUUGGGGUCCCUCAACUCAUCAAAACGUGUAGCUAUGGUCAUUUUCAUCAAUUUCGUUAGAAUUUUAUCAAAAUGAGUUUUGUUGGAAUGACCAUUGCUACAAUUGAAUUAAAGUUGAGGGACUAUUAUUUCAAUUGAGUUAAAGUUGAAAGAUCAUUUCUUCAGUUGUAUUAAAGUUGAAGGAUCAAUGGUAAUGAAUUUUUAGUUGAGGGGACUAUAGCUGCACGUUUUAAUGAGUUGAGAGAACAAUAAUAAUGAAUUUUUAGUUGAAAAACUAUUACUUCAAUUGAGUUAAAAUUAAGAAACAAUUGCUACAAUUUUUUUAUAUGGAAAGUGGAUGAUGUGAAUAGCACAUCCAAAAAUAAAAGGGAACUUUAACGAAAAGCACCCGGUACUGUUCACUUUAACGAAAAACCACAUUUUUACACUAAAAAGUCAAUCCUGGUACUAUUCACUUUACCCUUUAUUUUGUCCUUAUCAUUAAAACUCAAAGUUUUCAAGCCCUUUUCAUUAGUUUUCCUAAAAUAAAAUGCACCACAAUUUGGUAGGAUCUUCCUGUUGAGAGUAAUAAAUUAAUAAUUGCCGAAAUAUUGGAUAAUUUGUCGGCCACAACGCUAUGAGGGAGUAUCUGGGGAUGAAUAUACUCUUGCCGACAGAUGCCCAAAUUCCAACUGCCAUUCAAAUGAGCCCUCCACCACCACCGGCCAUAAUAAAUUCUCUUUCUUUAGUGAAGAAGAAAAAGAGGUACUUGGCCCUCACCUCAACUUUUUGAGAAAGAACAAGUUUAUCGCUAUCAGAAUGUUUCGGUCAAUUAUAUAAGUUAUGUGUAAAUUUUUCUUUAGAUAACAUUACAUUAUUAUAUUUAAAAUGUUCCGUAACGAUAAAUUUGUUUCAUACAAAUUAUUCUCCAACUUCUUGGAUUUUUCUCCUUUUUCCCGAAAACCAGCUUAUAUUAGUGUUCAUCCUCUGUCAAUAUCACUCGCCCACAACUAUUCAACUAACUUUUAAUAAUUUGACAACGUGUCAUAUUUUUGUGCAAAGCGGGCCCAUUUUUGUGGGUGAUAUAAUAAUGGCGUAUGUGGUUUGUCAAGACAUAUACUCAUUUAUCCAUUAGCAGUUAGGUAAGUCACCUCACUCACCCACAGCCUAACACAUCAACAAAUAUUGCUUACAAAUUCUAGAAAAUUCGACCAAGAAAAAAAACCAAAUGCUCGCAAAUUAAAAUUGUGUAACAUGAUUAGUUUUUUAUCCAUUAGUAUUAAUUUUACGUUGGAAGAAAUUCCAAAUUUAUUCUUGUAAAGAGGGAUAUGAAAAUACUUUGUAUGUCUAUCACCAAAAUCUUCGAAUGUUUGAAUGGUUGAUUUUCAAGUCUCACACAAUUGGAUUUAGUUCAAGUGAGAAAGAAAUACACUCAAACUAUUAGAUAUGAGGAAUGAAAAUACACUACAAAAUCUUGUGAACAUUUCUAAUAUUCUCUUCUAUCUACUUUUUGUGAACCAAGUUUUUAUUUGUUUUUUUUUUUAACAAAAGAUAUUUUUUAUACUAGGGAAAUAAGGUGGGUUUAGCCUCAUAAUGGGCUAACAUAAUCUAGUUCAAACUUGCAUUUGGUGAGAAUCGAACCUAAAAUCUCUCACUUACAAGUGAAGAGGAAUACCAUUAGAAGUGUCAUGAAAUUAGCAGUCUUAUAUGUAAAAAAUUGAUUGACUAAAUGCUGUGUUAAAAAACAAGAUUAAUACUUGCAUCUCCCCACUUGGAAAAUGCAAAUAUUUCAUUUCUUGCAAAUAACGUAUAUCAUGCGUUCUGUUCAAUCGCAUAUUCAAAAAUGUUAAAAACAAGAUUAAUAUUUCUAUCUCCCCACUUGGAAAAUGCAGUAUUUCAUUUUUUACGAAUAACGUAUAUCCUGUGUUCCGUCCAAUCGCGUAUUAAAAAAAUGUGUGAAGUUUGGAUUAACUACACUCUUUGAGAAUUUCCUUAAAUAACCACUUUUUGAAAAUUUCUUAUAGGACUAAGUGAGUCUCCGCUGAGAAUUUCCUUAACUAACACAACACUACUUGAGUGAUAAUUUGUUAUAUCUUGAAUAGAGAAUAAAUCAGUUCCCUACUUUUGAAGGUACUAUUAACUUACACUAUAUUUGAAUGAGAACAAUAAACUUAGAAUUUAGAUGAAGGAAAUAAAACAGUUUCCUACUUUUGAAGGUACUACUCGAGUGAUAAUUUGUUAUAUCUUGAUAACGUGUCAUAUUUUUUUGCUAAGCGGACCCAUUUUUGUGGGGUGGUAUAAUAAUGGCGUUUGUUGUUUGUCAAGGGCAUAUACCCAUUUAUCCAUUAGCAGUUAGGUCACCUCACUCACCCACAACCUAGUACAUCAACAAAUAUUGCUUACAAAUUCUAGAAAAUUCAACCAAGAGAAAGAAAACCAAAUGCUCGCAAAUUAAUCUGUGUAACAUUAGUUUUUAUCCAUUAGUAUUUAUUUUACAUUGGAAGAAAUUCCAAAUUUAAUCUCGUAAAGAGGGAUAUGAAAAUACUUUGUAUAUCUAUUAUCAAAAUCUUUGAAUGUUUGAAUGAUUGAUCAUCAAGUCUCACACGAUUGAAUUUAGUUCAAGUGAGGAAGAAAUACACACAAACUAUUAUAUAUGAGGAUUGAAAAAUACACUACAAAAUCUUGUGAUAACAUUUCUAAUAUUCCUUUCUAUCUACAUUUUGUGAUAAGUUUUUUUUUUCCUUUUUUGAACAAACUAUAUUUAUCUACAUUAAGGGAGAGGAGGUGAUCUUAGCCUCACAAUGGGCUAGCAUAAUGUGGUUCAAAUUCGCCUUUGGCGAUAAUCGAACCUAAAACUUAUCAUUUACAAGUAAAUAGGAAUACCACUAGAUGGAUCAUGAAAUUAGCAGUCUUAUAGGUAAAAAAAAAUUGAUCGACUAAAUGAUGUGUUAAAAAACAAGAUUAAUACUUGCAUCUCUCCACUUGAAAAAUGUAGAUAUUUCUGUGAACACGGAAAAUUCCUGAAACGAAAGAGACAAGAACAACGUGCACAAAAUAAUAUUUUGGUGUUAAUGGAUUUGUUGGGUUACGAUCUCUUUUAACUUGAUCCUCUGAUUCGAUCUCCGUAAGGUGUUGAUUUAUGGAUGUUUCGUUGAUCCAAGGGCUGUUGAGGCUUGAUCUUAGAUGAACUGUUGGAAGUUUCUUCAAGGGGCCGUGGGCUUGAUCUUUGAAGGUGGAUUUGAGCGGAUCUUCAAGGAGCCGUUGGGGCUUGAUCUUGAGGAUGAGUGUUUCUUCAAGGGCCGUUAAGGCUUGAUCUUGAAUAACGGUGAUGAACGGAUCUUCAAGGGCUUUUGGGCUUGAUCUUGAAGAACGGUUGGAUGUGUGGAUUUGUUGAUGUUGUUGAUCCAAGGGCCGUCGGAGCUUGAUCUUGGAAGAACGAUGAACGAAGAACGAAGAACACUUUCUUCAAAGGCCGUCGGGGCUUGAUCUUGAAUUGGUGAUUGUUGAUCCAAGGGCCGUCGGGGCUUGAUCUUGGAAGAACGAUGAACGAAGAACGAAGAACACUUUCUUCAAGGGCUGUCGGGGCUUGAUCUUGAAUUGGUGAUUGUUAAUCCAAGGGCCGUCGGGGCUUGAUCUUGAUUCUUCGGGAUGAACGGAUGAUGAACAAUGAACACUUUCUUCAAGGGCCGUCGGGGCUUGAUCUUGAAUUGGUGGAAGUUCUUCAAGGGCCUUUGGGGCUUGAUCUUGAAGGUGGAUGAUUGUUGAUCCAAGGGCCGUCGGGGCUUGAUCUUGGGAUGAACAGUUGUGUGGAUUUGUUGAACACUUUCUUCAAGGGCCGUCGAUGCUUGAUCUUGAAUUGGUGGAAGUUCUUCAAGGGCCGUUGGGGCUUGAUCUUGAAGGAGGAUUUGACGAAGAACGAAGAGGGCUUUCUUGAUCCUUCGGGAUUUGCUUGAAUUUGGGAGGUUGGAUGCUUGAAAGCUUUAGAGUUUCAAAGCUUCAAGGAUUUUGGAUGUGUGGGGAGUAUUCUCUUCCAUUUUGGGAGUAGAGAAAUGUAUUUGUGAAUUGGUUUUUGAUACCUUGAUGUAGAAGCCUAUUUAUAGGCUUUGAGAAUGAAUCACCACCACAAAAUAUUUUUUUUCUUUUCCAAGCACCAUUGCCUAAUUUCCCACUUAAUACAAUUUUAAACUUGAAGUGGUAAUUUUAUGGCCUAAUUUUCCACUUAAUAUCAUUUUAAACUUGAUAUGUGCAUGCUUUGUCAUUGCCCAAAAUGAGAAGAAAACCUUGUUUUGAUCUUCAAUGAAUUGAAAUGUGCUUGCCUUGUCAUUGCCCAAAAUGAGAAGAAAAACUUGUGUAAUCCUUCAAGGGUAUUUCUUUUUAUUUUGUUGAGUCGCACACCAUGUGUACAAUUUGUAUGACACGUGGCAUAUGCCAUGUACGCCUUGACACGUCAAAAUUUUAAUGCGUUGGUGAACAUUUAUUUCACCGCAAUUUCGGUGUCUACAAAUGCCCCCACUUCAAGGUGCGUCGUAUACAUGUGCUUGUCACGUGUAGGAGAUGCGUUUUGAAGUCCCUUACUGUAGAUGUCAAUCCAAUGGCCAUCGAGGCUUGAUCUUGAAUUGGGCUGGAGAUUUCUUCAAGGGCCGUUGAGGCUUGUUCUUGGACUUUGUUUGAAAUUUCUUCAAGGGCCAUCGAGGCUUGAUCUUGAAGGUUGAAAUUGGACCACAAGGAGCUUCAUGUGGUAGAUGAUCUUUGGCUUUGGUAGUGGAUGAAUCGGCACGUAUUUGUUUUUGCGCUUUGUUGACUUUCCACAGCUUUGAUCUUGAACUGGGUUGGAGGAUUUUUUGGAUUCCUCCAAUUGUUGAUUUUCCACAGUUUAUUCUUGAACUGGAUUUGAUUCAAAUAUGGUGGACGCUUGAUCUUGAAUCGGACUUGUGAUUUCCUCAAGGGCCGUCGAGGCUUGAUCUUGAAUUUGGCCGGAAACUUCUUCAAGGGCCGUUGAGGCUUGAUUCUUGAAGGUUGACUCGAACACAUGGCAAGCAGGCACGAGGUGAAGGUGACGACUUGUUGCUUUGUUCAAUCUUUCUAAUUCACACCUGAGCAGUUUGGUCAACGGUAUGAUCUUCAAGAUUGAUGGGCUCUUCUUCCAGUUGGUGAUUUGAUCUUUAAGGAUUUGAUUCAAGGGUGGUGAAACGGCACAUGCAGCCCACAACGCCUAGCAAGUCGACCCAAGAAUUUGAGGGUUAAAACGAGUCCUCCACCCAGAGUGAUUGCAAACCUGAUGAUAUGAGAUACUUUUGAUUUUGAAGAAGUAGCGGAUGAAUCGGCACGUGCUUUGUUGUGCUUGUCUCCACAUGCUUCAAUGUAUCAUUUUCCCUUGUCUUAUCUAUUCUUCUAGCAGAAUGUAGCAUCUUCUUAAGUUCUUCAACUCAGACUCCUUCUGCUGAGCUGACUGUGCAGGCUGCAUUAUUCUCUGCUUGUUUCUUUAGGCAGAUGUGGCAGCUUCUUGAGUUCCUCAGCUCGGACUCCUUCUGCUGAGCUGAUUGUGAAGACUGCAUUCUUAUCUGCUUGUUUCUUCUGUACGUUGUCUCCACAUGCUGCAAGGUAUCAUUUUCAAUUGCCUUAUUUGUUUUCCAGGCAAAUGUGGCAUCCGAGUUUGAGUGGAGGUUCUGGCAUAUUGUUUUCUUUAUCCUUGUCUUUGUAGGUAAGAACAAGGACAAAGGAAAGGACAGGGAGAACGCAUGAUAUGAUAUACUCUUGCUUUCUACCCUGGUGAUAUGAGAUACUUUUGCUUUGGUGUCAUUUGUUUGCAGAGGUACCCCAAGGAAUAAGAAACACUGAGUGACUCGAGAGGCUUUGUUGGGAAGGCAUUCUAGGAGAUGAAGAAAGGUUCUUGGAGAUGAAGAAAGGUUCUCGGAGAUGAAGAAAGGUUAUGUAUGUCUGCCUUGCUAUGGAGGGUAAAGGUGGACAGUUAUAGGAAAUUCUUUAGUACCUGUAGAGGUACUAUUCUUUUACUCGUGUCGGCAACCAAUGUGUGAUUGAUCAGUAUGGCUUCACGUGUUUUCUUCUUUAUCAGAAAUCUUCGACAAAUUGUCCGUAAUUUUCGUCAAGCUGAGUGUGCAUGUGACAGGUGUUGACGAGGCUGAAAAAGACUGGUGCCUCUUCGAUAUCUGGGAUCGGCGCUUCGACAAAUUGCCCGUGAUUUCCGCAAAGCUGAGUUUGCGCGUGACGGGUGCUGACGAGGCUGAAAAAGACUGGCGCCUCUUCGAUAUCUGGGAUUGGCGCUUUAACAAAUUGCCCAUGAUUUCUGCAAAGCUGAGUUUGCACGUGACGGGUGCUAACGCGUCUGGAAAAGCAAGAUGCUUCUCCGAUUUCUGAGCUUGCCUCUUUGAUUUUUGAAUUGGCCUCUUCGAAUUCUGAGCUCGCCUCUUCGAUCUUUGAAAUCCCAUCGAGUGUUGAUCUUUAUAGAGGCACGCAGUUCGUUUCAAAGCACACUUGAAUUUUCGCUUGUAGAAACUCCCUUCUUGCACUUCUAAGAUCUUGAUUUGUCCGACCUCUUCUUUCUUCAACACCUUUGAAAAUGUCUGGACCCUCCGACCGUCAUUUUGAUUUGAACCUUGGUGAAGAGGUAGUCCCGUCUUCUCCAGAUAACAUAUGACGCCCAUCUUUCAUAUCCCCUACUGGUCCUCUUACCGUUGGGGAUUCGGUGGUGAAGAAUGAUAUGACCGCUGCGGUGGUGGCCCGAAACCUUGUCACUCCCAGAGAUAACAGACUACUUUCCAAACGGUCUGAUGAGUUGGCUGUUAAGGAUUCUCUGGCUCUCAGUGUGCAGUGUGCAGGUUCUGUGUCUAAUAUGGCCCAACGCCUAUUUGCUCGAACCCGUCAAGUUGAAUCAUUGGCGGCUGAAGUGAUGAGUCUCAAACAGGAGAUAUUAGAGGGCUCAAGCAGAGAGAUAAACAGUUGCAUAAGCUCGCACAUAGCUAUGCGACAAACAUGAAGAGGAAGAUUAACCAGAUGCAGGAAUCUGAUGGUCAGAUUUUACUUGAUCAUCAGAGGUUUGUGGGUUUGUUCCAGCAGCAUUUGCCUUCGUCUUCUGGGGCUGUACCGCGUAAUGAAGCUCCAAAUGAUCAACCCUUGGCUCCUCUUCUUCCUGGAGUUCCGCCGAGUGGUGUGGCUUCAAACAGUCAACCUCCGACGCCUCUCAUUUCUGGAGCUCUGCUGAGUGGUGAGGUGGCACCUAAUCGUCCUUGAAGAUCCCCUCUUGUAAAUUUGAUUUGAUUUUUUUUUAAGUAUGUAUAAUGCAAAUUUAUGUAAAAUUUCCAGAAAAAAUAAAUAAAAACGGACUUUAUUUCUCUCAAUGCAUUUGUUUUGUUUUGUUUUUGUUUUUUUUGUUUUUUUGUUUUUGUUUUUUUUGUAAAUACAUAAUAACAUAUGUAUUUAUUUAUUUAUUCUUUUGUAAUAAAAUUGACUUUCUUUAAUAAAACUUUUAUAUUUUUCUUAUUUAUUUUGAUAUGACUGAACUCGAAAUUGAAUGUUCGAGCCGCCUACGUACCCUUCCAAAGAAGAGAUCAAGCCAUAACGUAGUUCAAAUGAGUGAUGAAUUUAAUAGUGAUUUUGAUGAUGAUUUUGCCGUACACAGUUUAUGCUCUUGUGGGCCAGGAGCUUUGGUGUUGCCUUUUAUGCUCGUGCAGACCAGGAGCGUUGAUGUCGCCUUUUAUGCUCGUGUGGGUCAGGAGCGUUGAUGUUGCCUUUUAUGCUCGUGCAGACCAGGAGCUUUGUGCCAUGCAGUUUAGACUCGUGCGGGCAAGGAGCUUUGGUUCGUGCAGUUUAGGCUCAUGCGAACAAGGAGCAUUGGUUCGUGCAGUUUAGGCUCGUGCGAACAAGGAGCAUUGGUGUUGCCUUUUAUGCUCGUGCAGACCAGGAGCUUUGUGCUAUGCAGUUUAGACUCGUGCGGGUGAGGAGAAUUUGUGAAUUUUGUCAAGCACUUUUGGAGAGGCGUUCCUUACAAUCUUCAUAGCAAGGAGCCUUGACCGAGUGAUUGAAGAAGUCUUCGGGAAAGAAGUCGCACAUCGUGAUGGCAACAGACGAUCUUUGUGUCGUAAUUUCAUCAUCUUCAACACGUUCACGUUGCUUUGAAGGUUGACAAGAGCUGCUUUGCCCCCUUUCCGAUUGGCGGACUUGUGGAGGAGACGUAUGCUUCUUGUGCCAUUUCUUAGGAGUGACUUGAGUCCAUCCUUCAAGUUUGCUUGUUUUGGAGGAUGCCCCCGGCGGUUGAGGUGAAAAUUUUGUGUUGAAAGAGCCAGAAGUGAUGGUGGUAUAGUUUGACUUCACCACAUCGUCAAGAUCUAGCUCGAUGAUUCCUUUCUGAGCCCACUUUAUGAUGAGAUCUUUCAGCACAAAGCACUUUUCUGUCGGAUGACUGAUGAAGCGGUGGAAUUUACAGUAUCUUGGACUGUUGGUACGAUUCAUCUCUUCCGGCCAUCUGCACUCAGGCAAACUGAUCACCUUCUUGUCCAACAGGUCAUCCAACAUGGCAACCACAUCAGAGUCAGGGAAUGGAUAAGUCUUCUCUUUAAGCUCCUUCAAAGUGCGUCUACGCAUCUCUUGAUCACGAAAAGCUUCGGUUUGAAUCGUUUUGCCUCGUGUGGAGAUUUUGACGGGAGAUGUGUUGACUGUCAUUGCUUCCUUGGUGGAUUUCCACGUAGCCUUCUCCACCUUUGUCUCAAGAAUUUUGUCGUUCUUGUAGUCGGCGAUCGGUUCCUUCUUCCCAUGAUGGGUGAUGCUCAACUCCAUGUCAUGGGCGUGGGUGGCCAAUUCCUCGAAGGUCCGUGGUUUAAUGCCUUGAAGGAUGUAUUGCAAACCUCAUUGCAUGCCUUGGAUGCACAUCUCGAUUGAAGAGGUCUCCGAGAGCCUAUCUUUGCAGUCGAGGCUUAGAGUGCGCCAUCUGUUGAUGUAGUCAAUGACCGGCUCAUCUUUCCAUUGCUUCAUACUUGUGAGCUCCAACAUGCUUACAGUGCGGCGGGUGUUGUAGAAGCGGUUGAGGAAUUCCCGCUCCAAUUGCUCCCAGCUGUUGAUGGACUCAGGCUCUAGGUCCGUGUACCACUCAAAUGCGUUUCUUUUCAGCGAGCGCAUAAACUGCUUGGCGAAGUAGUCCCCCUCCGUCCCCGCGUUGUUGCAAGUUUUGACGAAAUGUGCAACGUGCUGCUUUGGGUUUCCUUUUCCAUCAAACUGCAUGAACUUUGGUGGUUGAUAUCCCAUCGGCAUCUUUAGGGCAUCAAUCUUCUUUGAAUAAGGCUUUGAGUACAACCCGGAGGUAUUUGAGCUCCCUUCGUACUAUGCCUUGACGGUGCUGGCAAUCAUCUCUUGCAACUGUUGGAUAGAAAGAGAUCCCAUGAGUGCCGCUUCUUGGUCUGGCUCCGGCUUCACAUCGAUUUUCUCCACCGUAGGCUCAUCUUCUGGGUUAGGGUUCUCGCUGUCCUGUGGCUCCAGUUGACUGAUGAGUGCAGCGAUUUGCAAGUCUUUUUCUUCCACAGUUCGGGUUAGCCUUGCGAUUGCUUCAUUCAUUUGAGCCAGUUGUUCUUCGAUGGAGGUAACGCCGAUGGUCAUGACUUGUGCAACCAAUAGACGUGACUUUCCUUUAGACAUCCAAGAUGCUGAAGAAGAACGUCAUUGGUUGUUUUGGGAUGUCAUCUUGUGUGCCUCAGCAACAUGCUUUGGUGCCCCCAGCGAGGUCAGGUUGAUGACAGACUCACACCUUUGAUGCUCCCUUUGCUCUUUUAGCGGCACCAACUUUGAAGUGGCAUGUUAAGGAGCGGUUGUGGUGCUAAUGGAUUGUCCAUUUGCGGCAGAAGUGCUUAGGAUCCUUCCCUCAGUGAUUGCGAGAACGGCUUGUCCCUUGCUUGAUGCCAUUGAUUUUGAGGUGUGUUUGGAUUCCUUAAACGGAGAAAGAUAUGAGAGGUAGAGAUUGUCCCACCGGGCGUGCCAAUUUGUGAACACGAAAAUUUCCUGAAACGAAAGAGACAAGAACAACGUGCACAAAAUAAUAUUUUGGUGUUAAUGGAUUUGUUGGGUUACGAUCUCUUUUAACUUGAUCCUCUGAUUCGAUCUCCGUAAGGUGUUGAUUUAUGGAUGUUUCGUUGAUCUAAGGGCCGUCGAGGCUUGAUCUUGGAUGAACUGUUGGAAGUUUCUUCAAGGGGCCGUGGGCUUGAUCUUUGAAGGUGGAUUUGAGCGGAUCUUCAAGGAGCCGUUGGGGCUUGAUCUUGAGGAUGAGUGUUUCUUCAAGGGCCGUUAAGGCUUGAUCUUGAAUAACGGUGAUGAACGGAUCUUCAAGGGCUUUUGGGCUUGAUCUUGAAGAACGGUUGGAUGUGUGGAUUUGUUGAUGUUGUUGAUCCAAGGGCCGUCGGGGCUUGAUCUUGGAAGAACGAUGAACGAAGAACGAAGAACACUUUCUUCAAAGGCCGUCGGGGCUUGAUCUUGAAUUGGUGAUUGUUGAUCCAAGGGCCGUCGGGGCUUGAUCUUGGAAGAACGGUGAACGAAGAAUGAAGAACGAAGAACACUUUCUUCAAGGGCCGUCGGGGCUUGAUCUUGAAUUGGUGAUUGUUAAUCAAAGGGCCGUCGGGGCUUGAUCUUGGAAGAACGAUGAACGAAGAACGAAGAAGGCUUUCUUGAUUCUUCGGGAUGAACGGAUGAUGAACAAUGAACACUUUCUUCAAGGGCCAUCGGGGCUUGAUCUUGAAUUGGUGGAAGUUCUUCAGGGCCUUUGGGGCUUGAUCUUGAAGGUGGAUGAUUGUUGAUCCAAGGGCCGUCGGGGCUUGAUCUUGGGAUGAACAGUUGUGUGGAUUUGUUGAACACUUUCUUCAAGGGCCGUCGAUGCUUGAUCUUGAAUUGGUGGAAGUUCGUCAAGGGCCGUUGGGGCUUGAUCUUGAAGAAGGAUUUGACGAAGAACGAAGAGAGCUUUCUUGAUCCUUCGGAAUUUGCUUGAAUUUGGGAGGUUGGAUGCUUGAAAGCUUUAGAGUUUCAAAGCUUCAAGGAUUUUGGAUGUGUGGGGAGUAUUCUCUUACAUUUUGGGAGUAGAGAAAUGUAUUUGUGAAUUGGUUUUUGAUACCUUGAUGUAGAAGCCUAUUUAUAGGCUUUGAGAAUGAAUCACCACCACAAAAUAUUUUUUUCUUUUCCAAGCACCAUUGCCUAAUUUCCCACUUAAUACAAUUUUAAACUUGAAGUGGUAAUUUUAUGGCCUAAUUUUCCACUUAAUAUCAUUUUAAACUUGAUAUGUGCAUGCUUUGUCAUUGCCCAAAAUGAGAAGAAAACCUUGUUUUGAUCUUCAAUGGAUUGAAAUGUGCUUUGCCUUGUCAUUGCCCAAAAUGAGAAGAAAAACUUGUGUAAUCCUCCAAGGGUAUUUCUUUUUAUUUUGUUGAGUCACACACCAUGUGUACAAUUUGUAUGACACGUGGCAUAUGCCAUAUAUGCCUUGACACGUCAAAAUUUUAAUGCGUUGGUGAACAUUUAUUUCACCGCAAUUUCGAUGUCUACAAUUUCAUUUCUUGUGAAUAAUGUUUAUCCUGUGUUCUGUCCAAUCGCGUAUUAAAAAAUGUGUGAAGUUUGGAUUAACCACACUCUUUUAGAAUUUCCUUUAUUUACCACUUUUUGAGAAUUUCCAAUAAGACUGGGUGAGUCUCCGCUGAGAAUUUCCUCAACUAACACCACACUACUUGAGGGAUAAUUUGUUAUAUCUUUGAAUAAAGAAUAAAACAGUUUCCUACUUUUGAAGGUACUAUUAACUUACACUAUAUUUGGAUGAAGGUCAAACUUUAUAAAUUGACAUACACCAAAUUCUUUGUUUGGAUUCAUAAACAUAUAAAUUUAGAAUUUCCGCGUGGAAAAAAAAAAUACUUAGAAUUUGAGACCUCCAAUUCUCAAAUUGAAAGUUUAAAAAUAAUAAAUUCCGUAUUCAAUUCAAUUGUUCUUUUAGGUUAACCAAAUAAGAAAAUUCACAAAUUCUAAAAUAUAAAAUCUCAUCAUUUCAAUUUCCGUCAUUUUAAAAUUCCUUAGUAAUAUUAAAUUUCUUCAUCCAAACAUAGUGUUAAGAAAUUUUUUAAAGAUACACUAUUUACACUCAUUUUUAUUUCUUACACAUUUAUUAACUUUGUCCAUUGAUUUCUUCAAUUCAUUUUGCCAGUUAUACAAAAAUUGAGAACAGUAUUUAUGAAUUAAAAAUACAUUUGUAGAUGUCACUACCAAAUUUUUAUUCCUAAUUCAAGAAAAUCUUAUCCAUAUAUGAUUGCCCUUGCCCACUUUAAAUGGGUGCCAUCACUUUACGAUAGAGCAAUCCUAACCGUCCACCUAGGUAAGCAUAACUGGCGAUGCAUGUCGCAAGGGGACCGCAUUGCACAAUAUAAUUAUACUAGUUGAUAAGACAAGUGAUGUCAAUCAAUAAAUUAUUUCAUUAAAACUUAGUUGUAUGUAUCAUAUGUUGUAAUGUAGGGUGUAUGAUAUGCUGACGCUGUAAAAAAAUGUAACCUUUUUAAUAUUACUCAUAAUAGUAAGACUUACCAGUAUUAGGAUGUUAUCAGUGGAAUGAGAAUCCUCUCCAGAUCUUUUUUGUGAGCUAUUAUUUGUAUUUAAUUUUAAAUAUAAAAAAUUAAAAUAAUUUAUGACGGCAGUGAUUCACAUGAUCUUCACAAAGAGAAUCCAAAUAAUCUUAAUUUAUAUCAGUGUGUCUAGAUAACAUGAUCGAGCCCCUUUACUUUUACCCUAUUUAGUAUUUUACAUUUGAACCUGUAAAUAUUCGAUUUUUCUUUGGUGCAACCGAGCACCAAAUAUAGAUUUUUUUUCACUUUUAUAUAAUGAUAAAUAAAGGGCAAUUGGCAGAUUUGAAUUCCAUUCGGAUUGGUCAAAAAUCAUUUUAAAUUGUUUUAUUUAAAAUUAAACACAUAUAGUACUUAAUAAAAAUUAGUCGUACAAUAUACGAUAAACAGAUAUAAUGUAAGGACCUUUAUGAUCUUCACAAAAAAGAUCCAAAGGUUGUGUAGCUGUUUCAAAAGGAUAAUACUCACUUUUGAUUAGUUCAAUGAAAUUUUAAACAUGUUUUAUUGUUUUAAAAAAUAAUAAACAUAUUUAUUAAUGUUUGUUUUACUUUAAAAAAUAAGCAGCACUUGACAACAUUUGAUUGUGCUAAAUAAAAAAUGAGUGACCACUUAGUACUACAGUCUUAUGAUAUUUUUCUUCAUUUGAAAGUGAGAGGUUUUAAGUUCGAAUCUCGUGGAUGACGAAUUUGAUAUCAAAUUAGAUUGCUCACUAUGUGGCUUAGCCGAACUCUCAUUUCCUUUAAUGUAAAAAUAUUGAUGUAUUCAAAAAAAUAAAAAGUGACUAUAGAGGACACUCAAUCUCAGCUGUAUGAUUAAAUCAGACGGUAAGAAAAAUUCUGCAAGCAUACUCGGUUACAUUAAUUGAAGAAAAAAUGGGUAAAUAUUGGGCACCAACGUUAUAAAUACCCUCCACCAUGCACCCAACUCCCUCACACCAUCACAACCCACGUUACAAAUCCUCCUCCUCAUCAUAACCAUUCUGUUUUCCGCAUAAUAUCCAAAAACCUAUCAUGUCUGAAGAGAAACACCACCGCGGUCUCUUCCACCACCACAAGGAUGAAGACAAACCCUCAGACUACCCUCAGUCUGGCUACUCUGAUGAAGGACGUCCCGGCGGCCUCGGUGGUGGUUACGGCGACACCAAUGAUUAUUCUGGUGAAGGACGUACCGGCGGCCUAGGUGGUGGCUAUGGCGACACCAAUGCUUAUUCUGGUGAAGGACGUCCCGGCGGCUAUGGCGGCUAUAACGAGACCACUGCUUACUCUGAGGAAAGAGUUGAAAGACCCGGCGGUGGCCGGUACAGUGAGACUACUGCGGCAUAUGGCAGCACCACCACUCAUGAAUCUGAACUUGAUUACAAGAAGGAGGAGAAGCACCACAAGCAUCUCGAGCACCUCGGCGAGGCCGGUGUAGCUGCUGCCGGCGCUUUUGCCUUGGUACGUAUUGUAUUUUAACCCACCUCUAUAUAUAUAUAUAUUAGAAUAAUGCUAAUAAGACCAAAUUUUGAAAACUAAAUGAUGUGGUUGUUGAUAAUGAACUUAUUACUCAAGUCUUGAUUAACAUGCUUAUUUUCUAAUAGUGACACAUUAUUUGGUUUAGAAAUUUGGUCUUCCUAACUUUAUCAUUCUCAAAAUUUUCAUGAUUUUGAUAGGGUAAUACGGGAGAUCAAAAUUUCUAAACCAAAUUUGCAAACCAAUAGAUGAUUGGAUUAUUAAUUAAGUAUCGAUUGUUUGUUUCUUAUUAACGACAUAUCAUUUGAUUUACAAUUUAGUUAAAAAAAAUUUAUUCUUUCUGUCAUAUCCUUUUGAAUAUUUGAUCACUUUACUCUUUAUCACUUUACCCUUGAUCACUUUACCCAUACUCUUGCAACCGAAUCACCGUCCUCCUCCUUAACCUUCAUUUUUUUGUCUUACAGUACUCCAAUCUAUCAACUCUGUCCAUUGCAACUUUAAUUGUGAAGAAAAUUAAAGUCCUAUCGUAAAAUUAAUUAGUGAUAUGGAGAGUUGCGCAAUUAUUGAUGGACUAGGUAGGUAAGAUACGGAAUCAAAGUCUACCAUUAACAAUGGACGGAAUUGAUGAACCAUAUAGGUAUGUAAGAUACGGAAUCAAAGUCCUCAUGUAAAUGGUACAGUUGCAAUCAGGAGAAGAAAUGAGUUAACUGAUACCUUCGUAAUAGUUCAUGUAGAGUUUUGAUAUUAUUAAGCCUUAACCACCUGAUCUUAUAUAUACGAGGACAAAUCUAAUCAAAUAUGUGUUAAUUUCAAGGUUUGUUUUACAUUGAUGUGAGAUCGAUGCUAGCAAGAUAUAUAACUUAUGUCAGUUUCUAUAUGAUGUGUGUAGCAUGAGAAGCACAAUGAAAAGAAAGACCCAGAGCAUGCCCACAGGCACAAGAUAGAAGAGGAGAUUGCUGCAGCAGCUGCAGUUGGUUCGGGUGGAUUUGCCUUCCAUGAGCAUCAUGAGAAGAAAGAGACAAAGGAAGAAGAGGAAGAGGCUUAUGGAAAGAAGAAGCACCACCACUUCUAGAUCUAUGUGGAUUGUGGAACAUCAUCUUUUGACUACAUAUGCAAUGUUGUGUUUUUACUAGUUAUCAUGUGGUGUGAUCAGUGAGAGUGUGAUGCUUAAUCUCAACAAUAUCGCUACAAUAGUUGAGUGGUUAAAUGUCCUUUUCAAUUAAUGGGUGCUAUCUGGUUUUCUUUUAGCAUGCCAUCUAUGUAUGUAUGUAUGUAUGUAUGUCAUUGUUAUUGUUCAUAAUAAUACUGUUUACUCGGUGUUUAUUUCCUAGUGGCCACAUCUCAUUUUAAAUGAUUUCUUCAUACCAUUAAUUUUUUAAAUGUAAAGACUCAGUAUCCAUAUAACUACGAAAAUUUUUGACAAAACAAAAACAAGAAAAAAGAAAAGGAAAAAAUGGCUUAGCAAGUUUGUAUCCUAUAAGACAAAUGGGUACGUGGAACGAUGGACAUCUCACAAUGGUUUUUGAAUCGUCGGAUCAUCAUGGUUGGACUAUAUAAUUAUCAUUGAUAUAAUAUAAAUUUUGAUUUUUUUUUAGGAAAUUAAUAUCUGAAAACAAUAUUGAUGUACUGCAUUUGUUUUGGACGAUAUUAUACUUUAAUCCAAAUUUUGAGAAAAAAAAAACAUAUCGAACUCAGGUGUACAAGAGUGGCUUUGCUACCCAUGUACAGGGCUAGUUCUGAGUUUUUGGGUGCCCAGUGCGAAAGCUCAAAAUGUGACAUUUUUUAAUACGAAAACAUAUAUUAAAAAAAAUAUUUAAUGAGGGCUGGAACCCAGUCGAAGCUGGAGGGCUAGGACCUCACGCCCAAAUUAUAUUACUUGAGAAAAUAUACAACUGAGGAGGGGACAUGGUACCUAAACCCCGACAAUCAAAAGUACAAUCAUAUACAACCACUCCUAGCAAAUCUCCUUCAAAUUUCAACCUUUAAGAAAUUGUCUUCUGGCAUUUUUUGAAGCAAAAUCAUCAAUUAUAUCAUCAUACUCCAAGUCUUCAAUCUCAUCAUUUUCAAUGCAUAAGAUUGCUAAUCCAUUUAGCCUAUCUUGAGUCAUAGUGGUCCGCAAGUAAGAUUUUAAUAAUUUCAAUUUUGAAAAACUUCUUUUUGCAGAUGCCAUGGUCACAAGUACAGUUAACAGUACACGAUAAGCAAUCAAGACAUUAGGACACAUGUCAGUUUCUUUUACAAAAUUUGCUAUUUCCAUGGAUGUCCAAGGGUUAUUAGAGAGAAAUGCUUCUUCAGGUAAUAUCAUUUGCAAAACCUGCAAUUCGGAAUAUAAGUCAACUCCAUCUACAUCCAUGGUAUUUCCAUGUUUCAAAUGUGCUUCAAGAUUCAUACAAUUUUCUUUUAGCUCUUGAUCAUCCAAUGAAAUUAACUUUGGUGCAUCAAACAAGAAGCCAAAAAUAGAUUCAAAGGAUUUUAACUGUUCAAACUUGUGUUUCAGUUGAGAAAGAGCAAUAUCCACUAUAACAAGAAAAUAAUAUUUCCUAAAUGAUUCUUUAGCAGAUUAUUGUUCCCUCUCAUUACCAUCAACUUCAUCAUGAUGUCUUUUUCUAGGUCUAUGACAUUUAGUUUGAAAAAACAGGGUCAAUUUCCAAAUCAAGUGCAAUUUCAUUAGCAUCACUCAUGGCGGAAGCAAAACCAGUUUCUCUGUAGUUUCCAAAAAAUGUAACAAAUGCUUCAAAUGCCUUUACAGCAACAUCAAGACGCAUGUCUUUAGAUUGUAAUUUUAUGCUCACCAUGUUAAUCUUCAACAAAAUGUCAUACUAAAUAACCAAACUUAAUACAAAAUCAAAACUUGAAAGUUCGCCUGAUGCUAAACAUCUUGCAUCCCUACUUAAUUGAGGAUUUUCAGUAAUUUCCACCAAUUAAACAAAGCAUUUCUAACCUGGGCUACUUGAGACUUAAUUGCUUUAACAUUUUCAAUGUGACUUUCCCAUCGAGUAGUUGACAAUGACUUCAAAGUUAAACCAUCAAUAUGUUCAACCAAAAUAUUCCAACGCUUUGUAGAGUUGGAAAACACCAUAUAUAUGCAUUGACAUGCUCUAAAAAAAGAUUUUGCUUUAAGACAUGAACUUGCCAUAUCACAAACUAUUAAAUUAAGCUAAUGAAAACCACAUGGCAUGUAAAAGGCUAUGGGAUUUAUGUCUAACAAUCUUUUCUGGACAACUUGGUGUUUCCCUCUCAUGUUAGAUCCAUUAUCAUAACCCUGUCCCCUCAUAUCAUCAAUAUCAAGGUCUAAAAUAUCGAUAUUAUCCCGAUAUUUCUUUCGAAAUUUCUGUGUUUUUGGAUUACCGAUAUUUCCGAUAUCAUCGAUAUUUUAGACCUUGAUAGGAACUCUAUGUGAUACUAAGUCACUCAUGUAUCUUACCAUGCAAUGUAUAAAGUGUAAAAUAUUGUAUUAAUUCAUUAUAUAUAAAUGAUUAUGGUGUGUUUAACUUCUUUCAUUAAUUACUACAUAUUUUCUACACUCAAAAUGUUUGUCAGCUCACUAUAUAAUCAACUUAAAUAAGUUAAAUCCAUCAUGAAAUGCAUUUCGUUCCAAUUUUUUGUAAUAAACUAGUAGAUAAUUGACUAAAUAAACAUCCUGCAAAGUUUCAAUAAAAAUUUCCAAGUUUUUCUUAUAAUUUCCGUGGUUUUUAUUCAAUUUUUAUCGAUAUCGAUAAUAUCCCGAUAUUUCCAUCAAAAUUUCCGUAUUUUUGGACUAUCAAUAUUUUCGAUAUCAUUGAUAUUUUAGACCUUGAUCAAUAUCAAGAUCAAGAGAUUUUAGGACAUCUUGCAGCUCGUUAAAAAGCCCUUGUCCUAAUGUAUCUUUCACACUUAAAAACUCCAUGAAAUACUCCCUUAUAUUUAUUGACCUACUUGACAAGUCAACACAUCACAAAAUUAAAGUCAUCUGUUCCACAUGACUUGCAUUAGGAGUACAAUCAAGAAUGACAAAAAAAAAUUUGGCUUCUUUUACUUUUUUAAUGAUUGCGGUUUUGACUUUUGAAGCUAAAGUAGCUAUCAACUCAUUUUUGUUGGAAAUGUGCCCUAAAACCAAUCAUAUGAUGAUACUUUACGAACGUUUCACAUGUUAAACUAAUAUAGUUUAAUAUAAAGGGCAAAAAUUAUUGUUUGUAGCCGUCUCAUAUAAAUGUUAUACGCUUAAACGAUAAGUCCAAGGAAUAUGUAAUUGGGAGAAUGCGAUCUAAAGAAGUUAGAUUCAUGAGACCAUUCUCUUCCGUAUACAUAUCCUAAACGUUACUGAUCAUAGGAUUGUCAAUUGGGCAUUGAUAGUCUGUUAAGAUCAGUACGUGUUAUGUCUUCUCUUAAGGAGAGUGACUGGUCUCGAGUCAUUGGUGUGACUGACACCAAGACAAGCAUGUAGGUGCUCAAUAGAGAAUGAGUCCACUGAACACGAUCAACAAGGAGUUCUCAUACUCAUGUCACAUGAGAACUCGUGGUUGGAAUAAUGCAAAGUAGUCAUUUGACCUGAGGCAUCAUAGUUGUCUUGUGGUUAGGUCCUUGAUCUUUGACUAUGUCAAAGUCACUCCGUCAGAGGGUGUCCAUUGCAUAGUUGGGGUUAAGCCACUUAGCCAUGGAGGCAAGUGAAUGCACAAUAAGGGAUCUCUAACCUUCAAACUAUUUGAGGGAGAAUACUCUAUGAUAUGAUUAAGAAUCUCUGGCCAGAGUAUGAAUGAUAUUUAAGAAGUCGUUCCAAAUCACAUUCAAGGUAAUCAUAUAAGUAAGAGAAUCACAUUGGAUAGUAGACAUGAAUAAACUAUCAAACCAAACAAUGUGGUCAAGAGUAUUGUAUUAGAGUAAGACCGUAUUGCAUUGUAAUCCUAAACUAAAUAGGUUCUCCACCUCUUCUGAUCAGCUUGGGUAACCAUGACAUACUGCUAGGUGUUACUCAUGAUUUGUGGAAGCCCUAAACGUGUAUAAUCACUAAAGGGAGAAUUGAAAGUAAGUUUCAAUUUACAAUCGAUUUGAAAGAGUUCUAAUCGCUCACUGCCUCGCUAAAAGGAACCUAAUGGAUCGUACACCGUGUAAGGUAGAGAUUGAAAAAACAACGGAGAUAAGUAAGGACAAUUAAAUGGUUUAAUUGUUUAUGACAAGAAUUAAUUAAUAUGUUAAUUAAUCAAACGAAUAAGUUCGGGUUAAACCUUGAGUUAGUUUUGGGCAUUAAAGCCCAAAUUGGGCUUCGAAUCUUCAAACCCAUUAGCUUAAGUUGUAUGACAACUUAACAAACAAAAUUCAAGAAGCCCAAAACAGCCCAAAGGCUUGGGAAAACCAGCCAUAUAGAGAGGGGUAGUGAACUUGGCUUAAUUGCAAGUUUGCCAUUCCAUUGUGAGGUGGUAUAAAGGCAACUUUAUAGCCAUUUCAUCCUUAGGGUUUCUUUUGGAGAAAAGAUGAGAACACAAGCUCCCUUUUCUCUCUAAGAGGCUGGCCACCCUAGAGGAUUUUAGCUAGCAAUCUUACUUCCUCUAGGUCACUCAUCUCUUCUUCAAGUCAUUCCUUGGUGUGGAGACUUAGAGGUUCCUUUCAACCAUCUUCAUCCAAGAAAUCCAUGGAGCUAAGAAGCAAGGAAUGAAGGCCCUCGCCUUGGGUGAUUAGCCUUUGCUUAUGCAAAGAGGAAUCAACAAAGGUAUAAAAUUUCUCAACUCACUUUGUUCUUGAGUUGAGUCUUGGUUCACAUAACUACUAGGCUUUGAAUUUCAUGGGUAAUGUUUUGUUUUGAGUGCAUACAAGCAUGAUUCCGCCUUUAAUUGUUAAUUGCAUGCCAUAGAUGUUGCUCAAAUGAACAUGUUUCUCACAAAAUUUCCUUCAAUUUUGAAUUUUAUGGCUCAAAUAGUGAUGAUGAAUCUCUUUAUUCUCAAUAAGUCGAAAAUGCUAUUGCAUUAUUGGAUCAAACUCCGCAUUCAUUUCAAGUAAACCUAAGAAGUUGCCAUUAGAGUCUUCAUAAAGUCUUUCAUUUGUUCCACGAAAUGCUAAAUUACGUAUGGCAAGACAUUUCAUAACAUCAAUAAUUCUAAGCAUCACUUGUUUCCAAUGAUUUGGCUCUUUCUUGAUUUGCAUUUGAAAUUCUUUGUCAAUUGUCUGAUUUUUUGUCAAUCUACUUUUCAACUCAACCCAAGUUCUCGAAUUAAUGAGAUGCUCUUUACUCUUUUCAUAUUGGUCAAGCUUCUUACCAAGAUGUCUCCAAUCACUAGUUCCAUCUUUUGCUAACUCACUUUUUGAGGCAAUUAUUUUAAACAAUUUACAACAAAAGCAAAAGACUUUAUCCAACUCUUUUGAGUACACGAGCCAUUUCCUAUCGUAAAUUUUACCCGUUCGUAAUUUUCGAUCAUAGUAGUGUGAGGAAAAUUUUCUAGAGAAUUUGUCCUUAGGAUAAGUGAAUUAGUUUCUCAAAUUGGUCCUUUUUCUACAAGUAAGUCUCUCAUUUUUGCAUUAAGACCAUCCCAAACUAUUGGAUCAUAAAUGUCUAAAUGAAAAAUAGGUUCAAGAGAUUCAAUAUUUUCUUCUACACCAAAAUGAUCAUCAUCAACAUUUAAAUCCACAUCACCACCAUUUUCAUGAUCUUGAGACUCAUCACCAACAUUUUCCUCUAAAUCACCACAAUUUUCUUGGUCAUGAGACUCGUCAUUAACAUCUUUCUCCACAUAACCACAAAUUUCAUCAUCAUGAGACUCCCCAACAAUAUUUUGUGACUCUUCACCAACAUCAUUUUCUCUCAAAUUUUCAACCGACUCAUUCUUUAUAGAAUUUUUUUUAUUAAGAGAUCCUCUUAAACUUUAGGCAAUUUCGUUAUCCUUUGCCUUUUUUUUCCUUUUCAUAUUACUAGAGAGUUAUUUUCUAAAAGACAUGGCUUUGAUAAUUUGUUUGCAAAAAUUACCUACAUAUGAUAUAACAAAAAUUUCCUAUUAAAAUUAUCAUCAACAAUUCAAAAAUUACCUACACAUGAUAAUCAAGAAUUCAAUUCAUCAACAACAACAAUUCUAUACAUCAAUUAUCAUAUAAUUCUGUCACUUGCAAAAUUUAUAUUAAAUUAUGAAUUAAUAAUUCAAAUUAAAAAAUUAGUUUACCUCAAAACUCAAAAGGGUUGUUGAAUGCAAGGACUUGUGGGCCUGUGGCUGUCGGGUUUGGAAGCUGUAGCCUGCAGCAGCGCAACAAAUUAUCAGACGGUAAGGGCUAGGGCAGUGGGGUAACAAUGGGGUGGGGAAUCGGGAAAAAGGGGAACUUAGGGUUAAUUGGGGGGGGGGGGGGCGGGGACGAGUGGUCCCCUUGUGUUGUUAUUUUUUAUUUUUUUAAUGGCCAAAACCUGG